AUCUCUGAGUUAGAGUAAACUGUCAAGACUUAAAACUUACUUACUUUACCUUUCACCAUGGGACUUGUAACCGUCACUUCUGUCUUGAGUAGUUAAAAGAUAGAACAGUCUAGUCAAGUGUCAUGUCUCUUAUUCUUGAUCAGCUAAAGCUCUGAAGUUUUUACAGAUUUUCAAAUAAAACUCAGAGAUUCCUUGUAUGAUUCUCUCAAAUCUCUCUUUUGUGGUAUUUCUGGAUCCUUACCAAGGUAGUGAUGGUAUAUGCCUUCUCUCAAGAUAUGUAGUAUUUGUGGUAUAAAGCAUAGUGACAUUGCCUUCUCUCUCACCCUACUCUAAUAAGGCUUUAAUAUUUGGAGCUCAUAGGUGGGAGAUAAAGUAUACAUACUUUACAAGACAUUUAUUGUAUAGUCAAACCAUGGAUCCAAAGAAACAAAUCAAUAAGUCAAAUCAAGAUGUGCAUGUGUGGCGAAUGAAUGGUGUAUGGUGAUGAUGGUGAUAACAAUGGUCAAAGUCUAAUUCUACUUUUGCUCUUUGAGGGGAUAUAUACCUUCCUUGCUUUUUGAAUAGUGAGGAGAAUGAGAUGCUCUUCUUCUUUUUUUUUCUUUUCUCUCAGGUGGGUAUCUUGUACCCCUAAUUCUACUGUCGGACACUUGUCCAUUUUUACCUCUCGUCUCACUUUUUCUUUUCUUUCGAGGUUCCGGGCACUUGCCCCUUUUUAUUUCCUUGUAUUUCCUUUUUUUUAGAGCACUCAUCUCUUGAGAUAAUAUAGCAAGUGGUAGUAACAAGAUUUCUUGAGCAUUUAUUUCAUAGGGGAAAAACAGAAAUAUUUUUGGCUAUUCUCUCCCGGAUUAGGAGUACAAUAUUUUUAGGUGGUUCUGGAGAUGGAAAUGGGUGGAUAUAUAUGGAUGGUACUUCCGGAAUAGAAGUAGCAUAUAUGAGAGAACGUGCAAGUGAAAUCUUGAUUUAACCACAUGAAAAGCUCCUAAGGGUCUACACAGCUUGACCACACUCAAUGCUCAUAAGCAGUAAAUAGUAAAUGUGUGGCUCAAAGUCUAGCAAGCAUGUAUAUAUGGCUGUGGUAGGAAUUUAAACUCUCAUCAUACAGGAACUCAUCAUGCAGCAUUAAAAAUUUUUAAAGAUAAAAUUCUCCAUAAUUCUCGCAUCUCUAGGAACAGAUAAAUAACAGCUCAACCUUCCCAUAUUAUAUCCGUUAACAACCUAGACUUUAGAUCAAGUUUUCAUCCCACAAGUUUACGUCUAGAGCAAGCUUUAAAUUAUAACAGUUAUGUCUAAACUUGAGAGAGAACUUAAAAUGUGCAAAUUAGGCAGAGCAACUAUUCAUCAUAUCCAUGCUAGAGUUUUAUUAUUAAGAUACAGAUUAGCAAAGCCACUUUAUUUAUUUAUGAAACACACUAAGCAAAAGAUAUAUAUAUAUAUAUGUAUAUAAGCAUAAAAUCUUUAUUUGGUUUUUCAUAGUUAUAUAUUUAUAUUCUAAUAUAGUAUAAGUAUUAAGAUAGAUAGAAAGAUAGAAAUACUUAGCGGGAUAAAUGGGGGUGCUCUCCCCCAAGCUGAAUUUUGACGUAAUUUCUCUUGAUGUAGCUGGCAGGUGGCAGAGGUAUAUUUGAAAGUCAGCAGCAUUCUGACAGCGAUUAGAAUGUCCUCCGUCUGCUAGUCUUCUUGAUUCUUAAAUUCUGUGGAGCUCAAAUAGACAACAAAGCUUGUGGAACUGAUUAAGUGUUAGCAUAAAUAUCUAGCCUUUAUCAUGUUGAGACUCCUUAAUAAUUAUUACUCCCUGUUUUUGUAUUUUUAUUUUAUAAAGCAGAAAAAUAUUUAUUUUAUUUUUAUGCCACCACAGUGAAUGUACUUAUGGGUUUUAUGCCACUCGUAUACUCACAUGGGGCUUAAUGUAUUUUCAUAUUUUUAUUUUCUUUUUAGGAUAGCAUGAACAUGAUUAACUAAGCAAUCUGUUUAAAAUAAUUAAAAGGGAAAGGAUAACUACCAAGUUUACCUCUUGGCAAGGCGUUCGGUGUUUUUAAGUCCUCCGAAUGGGACUCUCCGUUUUCUCAAUUGUCCUGGGAUUCGUUGGGUGGCGUAGUCGGUACUUCCGGCGGCGCCUCCUCUUCAUGUAUAGUUAUCUUGUCUUUCCAUACCUGACUCGGUGCUACGGUCUCCUCUGGAUAAUUCUGUUUAAACUCUAUGUCUUCUGACCUUACAACUUCUCCUUCAUAGUCUGCCCAUCCGUCCUUGAUGAUCUGCCUCCUCUAGUUGCGGUUGCAUCGUUUCCUUACCUGCUUAGAUUCUUCAACGAUAUAGUCAGCGUCAAUAAAAUAACGUCGUACCUUCUCUGAGGGGAAGUGCAUAUGGACUUCUCCGGUUCCAAUAUAGAUGAUUGCUUUAACGGUGCUGAGGAACGGUCUUCCAAGGAUGAUGGGUGGAUCGUAUUCAUCUUCUCCCAUGUCAAUAACCUGAAAGUAUGUGUAGACAAAAAUUGUCUAUCUUGAUAGGGACAUCAGUUACUGUUCCUUUAAUUUCUCGAAAUGUCUGAUCUGCCAUCUGGAGCUGAAUAUAUGUUGGUUUUAGGAGCAUGGUUCCGAACAAGAGCCGAUAGGUGACUGUGGCCAUUAUGUUGACGCCCGAUCCGGUGUCGCAAGUUGUCUUGUAGAAGCUGUAUCCAUUUAUUGAGCAGUAGAUGCUUGGCAUUCCUGGGUCGUCCUUCUUGGUCAAAAACGGAGACUUAAGUUGAUGAUCUUGGCCUCAAUGAACUGCAGUGACCAUCUUAGCUGACUCGGUCCACACUUGCUUGUUCCUGUUCCUCCUGUUGGUCCUCUUCCUUGAUUCAUGUCUGGAUUAAUCUGGGAUUUGUGUAGUCUUGUUCUUCAAGAAAAAUGUCUCCUUCCUCCCUUUGAUGUAGAAACUGAUCUUGGCAGCACUGGCGUAGAUGAUAGCUCCCGUGGUGUUCAAGAAUGGCCUCCCUAAGAUGAUAGGUGCCCUCUCAUCAUUUCCGGUCUCUACUACUACGAAGUCUGCUGGGGCAUACAAGGUACCAACUCGGACACAAAGGUUCCUUAAUAUUCCUUUUGGAAAAGUUAUCGUCUGAUCUGCAAACUGCAAACACAUGGUUGUCUCUAAUAAAGGAUAUGUAAAGAAUUUUUCAUAGAGUGCCCUGGGUAUAAUGUUGACGUUGGAGCCAACGUCACAGAGUGCUUCUGGGACGUCCACCAUGCCGAUGGAGAUCGGGAUGACGGGGCGUCCUGGAUCUCCUCUCUUGACCGGCAGAAGGUCAGUAGUGAAUUCAGUGACGGGGUUACUCCAAUUACCUGCAUCAAACAUGUCUACAAGAUUUGCAGAUUCUAAUCCUUCCGGUUGUGAUGGUAUACCGGGGUGAGUAGCAGGAACAACAACAGCUAUUUGAUUUAACUGAGAUUCAAUCAUUUUAUUAAAGCUAAUUUGAUUCUUGAUGGCAGUAGAGAAAUUAUCCAUUCUAUUAUUUAUAUUUUCUAGCAUUUUAUCAUUAGAUGCCAAUUUCUUAGAUAGAUUAUCCAUUAGCUUUCCUUGAUUAGACACUAACUCUCUCAGGGUGGAAAAUUAUUAUUAUUAUUGUAAGAAUUGUUACCUUGAUAAUUACCUGAGUAGUUAGGCCUCUGUUAAUUCCAACCUUGAUUUUGAUGAGGACGGUAGUAGUAGUUGUUGUUGUUGUUGAUGUAGUUCACAUCCUCAAGCAUCUCAGGACAGUGAUUGCCUGAGUGUCCAGUAUCUCCACACUCCUCACAAGUCAUGUGAGAGUCGUAGAUGUGCAUAACUUCCUUCUUAUCUCCAGCUCUAUGGCCGAGCUUCUUCAUGAGCAGGUCUAGCUUUGCAGACAACAUGUCUACCUCCUUCAGCUGAUGCAUACCUCCACCUCUCUUGCGUGUCUGGGUCCUCUCUUCAUUCCAGCUUUGGUUGGACACCAUCUUCUCCACAAGAGCUGGGGCUUGUGGCAUGGUGAGUGAUAAGAAUGCUCCUCCAGCUGCAGCAUCCAUAGUUUCUCGGGCACUAUUGCCGAGCCCAUGAUAAAACAUCUACAUCAGUAGCCAACUCUCCAUUACAUGAUGGGGACAUCCUAGGAUGUAGUCUUGGAAGCGCUCCCGUGCUUCUGGAACAGAUUCGUCAUGUUGUUGCUGAAAACUUGUAAUCUUCCCACGGAGAGCAUUGGUCUUGCCCAUGGGAAAGAACUUAGCCAGAAAGUUUGUUGAGCAGAGUGCCCACGUAGUAUUCUUCUCCUUUGUAGCAUAGAUCCACUGCUUUGCUCUUCCUAACAGUGAGAAUGGGAAGAGGCGAAGUAGUACAGCAUCUUUGGAAACUCCUGAUAUGGUAAAUGUGUUGCAAAUCUCCAGGAAGUGUUGUAGAUGAGCACUGGCAUCUUCGUGUGCCUUCCCAUAGAACUAGUUGGAUUGCACCAUAUUGAUAAGUCCAGGCUUGAGCUCAAAGUUGCCGUCGAUCACUGCAGCAGGUCCAGUGCGGAUGUUGUCUGUAGUGGGAGCUGAGAACACGCAGAUUGAUUUGUUCGCCAUGGCUUCGAACUCUGAAGACAAGUUCCGGUGAUCUUCUUGAUUGGAUGAAGCUUCUUGCUGAAGUGUUGAUGAUCUCUUCUUGAGCUUGGCUCUCGUCUUCUUGAAUAUUGCUUCGGGAUUGUCAACAAAAUUUCUUGGAAGAUGUCUUCUAUUCAUACAUUCCCCUGCAUAAGAUAAAAAUAGAAAAAUAUUUUGGUAAAACUGUAUGAGAGAAUAGAUAAGCUCAAUCAUAUUAGUGAUGCGAAUGAUAACUCAAAAUCUUUUAUUCCAUUCCUGAUUAGUAAUCAACCUUCCCUGGCAAUAGUGCCAAAAAUGCUUGUUGGGUAUUCUUAACAUCAUUACCAAAAGUAGACAAUUCCUAAUUCUAGUAACGGUGCCAAAAAUGCCAAACGUAUCCCUCACACCACUUAAGCCAAGUUGUCAUCCCCAGCAUGAUGUGAGAGACGCGGUAUUGAAAUAUGCAAUUGCUCUUCUAAAUAAAUAAUGAAUGGGAUCUGGAAGCGCACAGAUUAAUACCGAUGUAGCAUUUUAACCGGGAGGUAUUCCAGGUAUCGUUAUUUAUAUUUUUACCACUGGGAAGGGAUUAACAAUCAUCAAUAUUGAUUACAGAAUAGAAUAUGAGAUUGAGUAUCUAUCAUUGCAAAUAUAAUUAAAAUCAGUUAUCUAACUCUUUCAUACAGGGGUAAGUGUCACAUAACAGAUAUAUGAAGUAAUAAAUAGUGACAAGGAUAAUUAAUCUGAUCAGCCACAUAUAAAUAUGAUAAGCACCUCAAUUAGAUACUCUAGAAAGUCAUUAGCAUGGAAUUAUAAUGAACUACAAGAAUAUUUCCUAAGUUAUUCUCAACUAUAUAGUCUAGCAUUAUUGUUGACGGUCCUUAAGUAUCAAAUUUAAUUAUCAAAUAAAUAAAGAAAAGGAUCCAAAUGAAAUAAAGAUCUAAACUUAGGGUUUUAUCUGACAGAAUUCCACGAGUUUUGGUGUUUGUCUAUUUCUGCAGGGGGUUAUCAGGAAAUACGGAAGAAAGGCCCACAUGUCGGGAUUACAUAGAGAUAUUAACGUGUCGCGCAAUUAUCUUACAUCUAGAAGACUCUAGAAGCCACGAGACCGAAGCGGAGGCGAAACGAGGCCAGACCCUGGGCGCCCGCCCAGUUGGUCAGGGCGCCCGCCCUGCCUCUGAGUCCAAUCAGGACUCUGCUUUGAGGCAGAUUUCCACCGACCUAAAGGAUGAAUCUAAACCAUACAAUCUAUGUCGGUUUGAUCCAAGGGCCUGUAUUCACUUGAAGGGACUAUAAAACCAGACCCCCUGGCCCCUGGAGGAGAGAGCCUCUUAACCCUAAUUCAUUGUUCUUCAAGGGAGAAGAAGCCUCUAAUCAAGAUUAGAGCCACCACAUCAAUUAGAUAUCUAGAUUAGCAUAGCUACAUAGGAUUAGAACUAGAAGGAGUCAAUCUUCGAUUGGUUUCCGGAUCUGUCAAGAGGAUUCUUGGUAAUUCUCUAAUUGUGCUUCUAAGUACUUUCUAAUUAUCUUUGUUCUUCAAUAUUAUGAAUAUGACUUUGUUCUACUUCAAUAUAUUGCUUAUGACUUUGCUGUACUUGCUUAUAUUCAAGAUUAUAUUGUUCUUAGUUUAUCAUAGUUAUGUACUUGGCUUAGUUAGAUUCGAUCUAUAUACAUGCUUAGGAUCGUAUAGCGUUUAUCCAUCGGAUCCAUGGGUAAAUGAUAGAUAUUGUGUAGGCGUGGUGCUUAUACCGUAUUUAUCUGCGAUUGUACCCAAUAUGCCAGAUCGUGGGGUGGUUCGUGAUAGUGACAGCUUUAUUGAUUCUUAUAUAGUCCCCCUCUCGUGUAUUGGGCUGGCAGAGCAACAUUAUUACAGGGGAGUGAUUGCUAUGUUUCUCAUAUUCCUUACUAAUAUCACUAUGCAUGGGCGUAGUCUUGUCUCGCAAUGAUUGCUAAGUAUGCUUGCACUAACUAUGAUAAUGCUAGACUAUAUAGUUGAGAAUAACUUAGGGAAUAUUCUUGUAGUUCGUUCUAAUACCAUGCUAAUAACUUUCUAGAGUAUCUAAUUGAGGUGCUUAUCAUAUUUAUUAUGUGGCUAGAUCAGAUUAGUUAUCCUUGUCACUAUUAUUAUUUCAUAUAUCUUUUAUGUGACACUUAUCCCUGUAUGAAGAGUUAGAUAUAAUGUUCUCAAUUAUACAUGCAAUGGUAGAUGCUCAAUCUCAUAUUCUAUUCUGUAAUCAAUAUUGAUGAUUGCUAAUUCCUUCCCAGUGGUAAAAAUAUAAAUAACGAUACCUGGAAUACUUGCCGGUUAAAAUGCUGCAUCGGUAUUAAUCUGUGCGCUUGCAGAUCCCAUUCAUUAUUUAUUUAGAAGAGCAAUUGCAUAUUUCAAUACCGCGUCUCUUAUAUCAUGCUGGGAAUGACAACUUGGCUUAAGUGGUGUGAGGGAUAGGUUUGGCAUUUUUGGCACUGUUACUAGAUUUAGAGAACUUAGUCUACUUUUGGUAAUGAUGUUAAGAAUACCCAACAAUUAUCAUAGUUAGUGCAAGCAUACUUAGCAAUCAUUGUGAGACAAGACUACGCCCAUGCUUAGUGAUAUUAGCAAGGUAAAUGAGAAACAUAGCAAUCGCACCCCUGUAAUAAUGUUGCUCUGCCAGCCCAAUACACGAGAGGGGGACUAUAUAAGAAUCAAUGAAGCUGUCACUAUCACGAACUACCCCGCGAUCUAGCAUAUUGGGUACAAUCGCAGAUAAAUACGGUAUAAGCACCACGCCUACACAAUAUCUAUCAUUUACCCAUGGAUCCGAUGGAUAAACGCUAUACGAUCCAAAGCAUGUGUAUAGAUCCAACCUAACUAAGCCAAGUACAUAACUAUGAUAAACUAAGAACAAUAUAAUCUUGAAUAUAAGCAAGUACAACAAAGUCAUAAGCAAUAUAUUGAAGUAGAACAAAGUCAUAUUCAUAAUAUUGAAGAAGAAAGAUAAUUAGAAAGCAAUUAGAAGCACAAUUAUAGAAUUACCAAGAAUCCUCUUGACAGAUCCGGAAACCAAUCAAAGAUUGACUCCUUCUAGUUCUAAUCCUAGGUAGCUAUGCUAAUCUAGAUGUCUAAUUGAUGUGGUGGCUCUAAUCUUGAUCACAGGCUUCUUCUCCCUUGAGAAUAAUGAAUUAGGAUUGAGAGGCUCUCUCCUCCAGGGGCCAGGGGGUCUAGUUUUAUAGUCCCUUCAAGUGAAUAUGGGCCGUUGGAUCAAACCGACAUAGAUUGUAUGGUUUAGAUUCAUCCUUUAGCUCGGUGGAGAUCUCCCACGAAGUAGAGUCCUGAUUGGACUCAGGGAGGGAGCGGGCACCCAGGGGAACAGGGCGGGCGCCCUGCCUCUGGCCCCGUUUCGUCUUCGCUUCGGUCUCGUGGCUUCUGGAGUCUUCUAGAUGUAAGAUAAUUGUGCGGCUUGUUAAUAUCUCUAUAUAAUCCCGACAUGUGGUCCUUUCUUGCGUAUUUCCUGAUAACCCCCUGCAGAAAUAGACAAACACCAAAACUCAUGGAAUUCUGUCAGAUAAAACCCUAAGUCUAGAUGUUGAUUUCAUUUGGAUCUUUUUCUUUGUUUAUUUAAUAAUUAAAUUUGAUACUUAAGGACCGUCAACAGCAUGUCCGAAAGUUCCUUUUCCAUUACCACGUAUCGAUCAAAUUAUUGAUUCUACUGCGGGAUGUGAAACCCUUUCUUUCCUUGAUGCAUAUUCUGGUUACCAUCAAAUAAAAAUGAAAGAAUCCGACCAGCUCGCGACAUCUUUCAUGACGCCUUUUGGGAUGUACUGUUAUGUAACCAUGCCGUUCGGGCUUCGAAAUGCGGGAGCUACAUACUAGCGAUGUGUGGCAGAACCUCCUAAGUGUUUGGGCCCACCGACACCUGCCAUUGUCCUAAGGACCUCUGACGGUGAUGCCGGGAGUCCUCCCACUUUAGAAGUCCGAUGAGCAUUGCUGGGCGCUCAUUCCACUGCUACCUGUGGCGUACCAAGCUGGCUCGUCCUGACCACUGGUAAUGGUCAAACAACGAGAACUGUUUCUUCUCGCCCUUACAGGAUAGCAAGUGGCCACCUUAACACCAGGAUCAUUCGUUGCGAAGAUAAAGCAGUAACUCAACAACACAAGACCAAAAUAAUAUUUCAGAGUGAAAUAGCGGAAGUAUUACAUAACUUAAUUUACAAAAGGAGUUCUUCCAAAUAGUAGAGUGUUAUUACAAGCCUGGUCCAGCGGAGCAACUGAAGCUUUAGUACAGACAGAACAAAAUUACAGACCCUGCCCAUGGGUCACGCUCACUCUUCUUCGUCGUCAAUCUCGACGACGGUCACACAACAGGGUCCGAAACAAGUCGGCUCCUGUGCUUCACCUACAACAGGGGUAUUGAAACCCUGAGUACGGGAGUACUCAACAAGACUUAUCCGCCGGGGAAAAGAGGAGAAUUUAGGGAUGCAGGCUUAGGGUAGACAAGGGGUGGCUGAGCAAGGAGCCAAAGUGUUUUGCGUAAAAGCUUACUAGUAGUGCAUCCUUAUUUUCAAGUUUUAUCCAGAAUUCCUCCCUCGCAGAGGCAGAGGAAUUCGAGGAUAGUCUAACUGGUUGUUCCCCACAGACGAAUCCGUGAGUUCCUAGUCCUAUCAUUAAGUAUUAUUUAUUGAUGGCCAUAGCUUCAUGUCGCUAUGAGUCCGGGAAUUGGGAUCCGAACCUCAUGGGACAUUUCCCCUUUUCAUUAUAUCACUUAGUUGCAUAUUUAACUACGAUGAGGGUCGAAGGAAUUGAGUCUCCCAAUCGGGGAGCAACGACGAUUCGAAUCGCUUAGCAAUCCAGCUGGAGUUCCUAACCACCCGACAUAUGUAGAACCAAUUCUUGCAUAUAUCAACCCAAAUCAAGCUCUCCCCAAAUUUGACUAGGUUCGCGGCACCCGAGAGCACAGUACUCCACCAUCCUACAGCCGAUCUAGAUGUUUUCCGGUCAUCUCAGAUCCGUAAGGUGGGUACACACUACUCUCGCCAUCUUUCCACUCCCAGUGCGCGAGUAGCUGUUCGCGUCGAGGGAUCACAAGACUGGGCUUACCGGGGCAAGUGGCUAGUACUAUAAAUUCUCAACCCAGCAGGCCAUCAACGGACCGGUCCUUAAUCGACACAGUUGGAGACACUACUUUAAGACUCCAUUCUUAAAGCAAGUCCACCGACCGGUCUCAAAUUGAAACUUCAUUGAUAGUAAUUGUAUCCCAAAACAACCCUUCAAACUUUCUUGUUUAAAACCUAUCUAGUAGCAGGGCUAAGCAUUGCUACGCAGUUUUAAAAUAAACAGGUGUCAAGGACAGGAUAACAGAUAUCAAGGUAGUAAAUGCAGCAAGUAGGUUAACCCAAUUCUUAACUACAUAAUGCAGCAUUUUUAAUUUACAAGUGAUAAAAGAUUUAAAACAUCCAAGGAGGGGUUAAUGCAUCCGGGGCUUGCCUUGGUUGCAGGGCAGAGAGGGACCCUCGGAGACUUCCCAAGUCUCGGAUCCGACUUCCUCGAACGGAGCACCGACCUCGGGGUUCGGUUCAACGGGCGCUCCUUCGAUCACGGACGCUAUACGCAAGAUGAUGAAUGCUUAUGAUAUGCGUAUGGCAAAUAUGCAAGAUGGACCGAAUUAAGUACAAUUUGUCCUCCCAAUGCAGUGCAGAACAAUUAAUAAAUAAAGUUGUUUAAUAACUUAAUAUUUUUACCCAAGAGGUUGCAUCUGUAAACUAAAACUUUACUUAAUUCAUAAUUAUCUUAAAUUAAGUAAUUAUUAAACCUAUUUACCUUAAUUAACUCUUAAUUAAUUACUAAUGACAGUAAUUAAGCAUUAAGGCUAAACAAUAAUUAAAUGCCAAAGGUCAUUAGGGUUAAUGACCUCAGGUCAUCACAUAAUCCAAAAUCACUCAACCCUAAUUAUGAGGACCUAAUUAAUCACUAUUUAAUUAUUUUGGAAUUAUUACUUAAGUACUAAAUAAGGGUUUAUUAAUAUUUUAAUCAAACAUUAUCCAAAUGCCACCAAAUUUUGUGUGGAGCCAGGGAAUAAUAUUCAGAGGCUCCCCACAAUUUUUGGUGAUUUUUGGACAUACAAAUAAAUUAUUAAAAAUCAUACAAGUUUUAUUUGCUAAUUAAAAGGGCCAAUUUUUAUAUCCUUGCAAACUAUUAGAAAGCAGAAUCUAGUAUUUUUCUUGGAUCCUACACAUUUCAGAGAGUUUAUACAAAAAUUCUCAUUAUUUUUGGAUCAUCACACAAUUUAUUACACAAAUUCAAACAUUCAGCAAAAAUUGCAUAAAAGGAAAAAGGAAAAGGUUUUUCGCGCGGCGGGCGGCCUGGAACUUGGCCCGCAAGCCGGCCCACGCGCGCUCGGCCUGCUCACGCGCCGCGCAGACGGUCCGCUUGGACACGGCCCACGCGCGCUUCGCGCGCGCUCUCUCCUCUCCGUAUGGUCACUGGCGAGCGGGUCCCGCUCGUCAGUUUCGCCUCCCUCGCUCACGGUGGUGCUGCCGCCGCUCCGGCGACCGCUAGCGGGUUCCUCGGCCCCCGCGCGCGCGCGCACCAGCACCGCACCAACCCUGCGACUCCAGAGGUACGGCCUGAGGACGCUCUAUCGUCCUCCUCCUACCUCGGCCACGCGAAAGGCGGCGGCCACCCUGGCCGACCGUCGGCCGGCCGCUAGAGCCUAGUAGAGUGCACACGGAUGGAACCGGGAGCUUCCAGGAGAGUUAAGGAGUACGGUGCUCACGUCACCACUGCGGGAGACACAACAGAGAAGCUUGGCGACGGUGGCCGUGCAGUCGGGCGGCGCUCCGGCUCCGGCGAGGUCGUCUCGGCAAUCCUGUUGGCGUCCAGUAGGAAAUAGCGAGCGCAUGAGCAACUGGGGCACGAGGGAAAUGUGAAACAGUCGCCAGUGGGGUGUGAUACUCACUGGAACACCGUGGCCACGGGAAGAGUUCCGUGGCGGCGGUCUCGGCCGGAGUUGGAGAAGAGGGAAAAGCUCUGGCGCUUGGGGAGGUUAGGGCGUGAGCUUGGGGGCGCUCUGAGUCCGCAAGGAGGUGGCGAAUACGGCAGCGUGCUCAAUUUGGCGUGAAUGGAACGGGGCGCGGUGGAUUUCAGAGAGGGGAAGGUCGAGCCUUUUCGGCCGUGGACAGCGAAAACGGACGGCGUCGUCCACGUCGGUGCUCAAGUGGAGGGGAAGACAAGCCCGGGGCAUCCACGUCGCCUGGCGACCCUGGCAGCAAGCAGCUGCGUGCACUCACGCAUGCGCGCGGCGCUGCUCGCGCGGCAGCUGCGCUGGACAGGGAGCCGGUGAUCCCUAUCGGAUCACUGUAGCAACCCCUAUCUUCCCCCUUUUGUCCCCUUGCGAAUUUCAGCCAAAAUUUGAACUAAAGUCCAAAUUCCACCAAAACAAAAAUUGUGCCAAAUUUUAUAAGCUACAAAACAUAUUUAAGAGUCCAGAACUGAUUUUGAGUGUAACAGGGUGAAUUUGGCCAAACAGUUUGAAAAUCAAACUCAAAUCAAAGAAAUUCCAAAUUUUUGAAUUGGGGCAAAACAGAAUUUCCAAAAUUACUUUUGAUUUUGUAUAACAACUUGAAAAACUCCCAACAUGAAAGUUGCUCAACUUUUUGUGCUCUACAACUUUCAUGUUGACCACUUUUCAAAAUUCCAAAUGGAUUUUGAAUUGGGGUUUUAAGUUGGAAAAGGGGACACUUUCUGGAAAUCUGUAUUUUCAAAAUUACUUUAAAUUUUGUAUUGAAACUUCAAAAACUCAAAACACCAAAGUUGUACAUCUUGCCAAGAGCUACAACUUUGCUUUUGAACUCAACUUCAAAUUUUGCUUAGUUUUUGAAUUAUACAAAAAGGGGCAAAUCUAAGAUCCAGAAAUCAGGGUUUUUCCCCCUUUUAGCCUAUCGGAAAACUUCCACCCUAGGGUUUUAGCAAUCACACAAGCAACAACACACCACAGAAGCACACUCUACUUCCCUAAGCUCAAGCAAUCAAAGUAAACUUAUUCUAAGUUGAUGCAUACUAAUGUGCUUUAACAAUUAUGCUUUACAAUGCUUAUGAUGACAUGAUCCGUUUUUAGUAACCGUAACAUCAGGGAUGUUACACGAUGUAUGCUCCACGUGUUCGGCAAACAUAUAGGGUCGACGGUUGAGGCCUAUGUUGACGACAUCGUCGUCAAGACGACGAAGCGAGGAGACCUGAUUCAGGACCUUGAGAUCGCUUUUAGUUGCUUAUGCGCCAACCAGAUCAAGCUCAACCCCGAAAAGUGCGUUUUCGGCGUGCCUCAAGGCAUGCUCUUGGGUUACAUCGUUUCCCAGCACGGCAUCGAGGCUAACCCCGAGAAAGUCUCAGCCAUCAUAAGAAUGGGGCCAAUCCAAGACGUCAAGGGCGUGCAGAGAGUCACGGGAUGCUUAGCGGCGCUAAGUCGUUUUAUCCCAAGGUUGGGAGAAAAGGCGUUGCCACUGUAUCGACUCCUGAAGAAAGUCGAGCGUUUCUCUUGGACCCCCGAGGCCGAGGAAGCCCUCGAUAACUUGAAGAAAACACUGACCUCUACCCUGGUCCUGGUCCCACCCCAACCCGCAGAACCUCUGCUUCUGUACGUCGCCUCGAUGACCCAGGUCGUCAGCGCGGCGGUAGUGGUCGAGAGGCAGGAGGAGGGACAUGCGCUGCCAGUCCAGAGGCCAGUCUAUUUCAUCAGCGAGGUGCUCUCGAAGACCAAGGCACGAUACCCACAGAUCCAGAAGCUAAUCUACGCUGUGAUCCUCGCCCGACGCAAGCUGCAACAUUACUUCCUCGGCCACCCUAUCACGGUGGUCUCGUCCUUCCCCUUGGGUGAAAUCAUCCAGAGUCGGGAGGCCACGGGAAGAAUCGCUAAGUGAUCGGUCGAGCUCAUGAGUGAGACCCUCACUUAUGCACCCCACAAAGCUAUCAAGUCACAUGCCCUGGUGGAUUUCGUCGCGGAAUGGACAGACUCCCAGCUCCCCCCCGGCUCAGGUUCAGGCAGAGCUGUGGACGAUGUAUUUCGACGGGUCUCUCAUGAAAACGGGAGCUGGGGCGGGCCUGCUAUUCAUCUCGCCCCUGGGCGUUCAUAUGAGGUAUGUCAUCAGGAUUCAUUUUGCCGCAUCCAACAACGUCGUGGAGUACGAGGCCCUUGUCAACGGUCUGAAGAUCGCCAUCGAGCUAGGAGUCCGACGCCUCGACGUUCGAGGCGACUCCCAGCUCGUCAUCGACCAAGUGAUGAAGGCCUCGAACUGCCACGACCCGAAAAUGGAGGCGUACUGCAAGGAGGUACGCCGACUCGAGGAUAGGUUCCAUGGCCUCGAGCUCAUCCACAUCACCCGACGCUACAAUGAGGCGGCCGACAAACUCGCUAAGCUCGCGUCGACUCGAGGCAUGGUCCCACCUGACGCAUUCACAAGAGAUCUACACGAGCCAUCCGUCGACUUGGGCUCGGGGGCUGGUGUCGAAGCCACCCCCACCCAGCAAACCGACACCAUCGAAGCGCUGCUAAUAGCAGCCGAGGCAAUGGAGGUGGAACAGCGGCCCUAUCGAUAGUUCGACUGGCGCACACCGUUCCUCGAUUGCCUAAUUCGUUGCGAGCUAUCUAAAGACCGGUCCGAGGCCUGCCGUAUCACUCGACGGGCCAAAUCAUAUGUAAUCUAUGGUGAAGGCAAUGAGCUAUACCGACGAAGCCCGAUAGCGAAAACUCCUCGAGGAUCUACACUCGGGGGCUUGUGGCCACCAUGCUGCUCCACGGACCCUCGUAGGGAAUGCUUUCCGAUAAGGCUUCUACUGGCCAACGGCUGUAGCUGAUGCCAUCGAGCUCGUGCGCUCGUGCCAUGGGUGCCAAUUCUACGCCAAACAGACGCAUCUGCCCGCCCACGCUCUCCAGAUGAUCCCCAUCACGUGGUCGUUUGCGGUGUGGGGGCUCAACUUAGUAGGACCUCUACAGAAGGCAGCAGGGGGGUACACCCAUUUGUUGGUAGCCAUCGACAAAUUCUCCAAAUGGAUCGAGGCUCAAUGCAUCACGAACAUCCGCUCCGAGCAGGCCGUCCUUUUCUUCACCGACAUCAUCCACCGGUUUGGAAUUCCCAACAUCAUCAUCACCAACAACGGCACUCAGUUCACCGGCAAAAAGUUCUUGGACUUCUGUGAUCGGCAUCACAUCCGUGUGGACUGGUCUGCAGUAGCUCACCCUCGAACUAACGGUCAGGUCGAGCGUGCCAACGGUAUGAUUUUGCAGGGGCUCAAACCGAGGAUCUACAACUGCUUGAAGAAAUUCGGCAAGAAAUGGGUCGAGGAGCUUUCUUUGGUCCUAUGGAGCUUAAGGACGACGCCAAGCAGGGCCACAAAAUACACCCCAUUCUUCAUGGUCUAUGGCUCAGAGGCCGUGCUCCCAACAGACCUCGAGUAUGGAUCCCCUCGACUCAAAGCAUACAACGAGCAAUCAAAUAAGGAGACUCAAGAGAACGCGGUCGACCAACUCGAGGAAGCUCGAGACAUGGCCCUCCUCAACUCUGCCAGAUACCAGCAGAAGCUUCGACGCUACCACGACAAGCACGUGCGCAAGAGAGAUCUGAACGUGGGCGACCUUGUCCUACGGCGGCGGCAAAGCAAUCAAGGACCCCACAAGCUGACUCCACCUUGGGAGGGCCCAUACGUAGUGGCUGAGGUCCUGAAGCCGGGAACAUACAAGCUAGCGGACGAGAAAGAGGCGAUCUUCACCAACGCGUGGAGCAUCAAAUAGCUACGUCAAUUCUACCCCUAGAAUUUCAAAGCUUUAUGUUCCCAUGCACAUUUUGUACCAAGACCUUACGAAUGAAUGCAUGAAUGAAAAAGAUCUUUCCCUCGAGUAAUUUACUUUUUAUAGUUGGUCAAAAUCUCAACGUUAGAAGGGAGUACCAACUAUGACCCAUCAUAGUCGAUACCCCCUCGGGGGUUAGCAGGGGGGUACCCCCCCCAAAAUAUCGAAAAAACCAGGAAAUUCUCUCGUCCCUAUCAGUAAAUCUCACGCGGUCAAGUAGUGGAGGCACCUCGAGCCCCUUAAGGGCCGAGGGACGACGAGCCUAAGGACUCCUACGCCUCCGGGCUACGGUACCUUUACUCGCUUCCUCACCCUCGAGGCAAUCGAGGUCGCCUUAACAAAAGGCAAAAUGGGAACUACAGACACAGGCAGAAAAAGAAUCUCGAGCGGAAAGAUAGGCAAACAUUCACAGAUCAUAUAAGCCACUCAAAAACACAGUACUACAUAAGAUAGAAUGACAAAAUACUAUACAAGGGGCCUAGGCACCCAGAGCAGGCUCACAGGCCUCAGUCCGCAUCUCGGCCCUCACCACUAUCGCCCGCGCCCGGGCUAGUCUCGGGGGGAAGUACUUCCGGCUCGAACAACUUAGCCAACCUCACCCCAGGGACCUCUGCGUCAUCGAUCAAGGCGUGGAGCCUCUCCUCGUUCUCCGCGUCAGUCUUGGAGAUGUCGGUGACGAAGUCGUGGGACACCACCUCCAUGUCGUAAGAAAAGCCUGAGAAGACUACCGCCAUCGCCCGCUUCACUCCGACAUGAAGAGCGUGCCGCACUCGAUCCCUCAGCGUUGCGCCUAGGUAGCACAGCUGAUCGACCAGUGCAUCGCCUUGAUCCUCCUCCCUCGACUCGUCAACAGGCUCGAGCUCCCAGGAGGCCGAGAGGUCGCUUAUUGCGGUCCAUAGCCGACCAUUCAAAGCAACCUCCCCCUCAAGCUGAGCCUUGGCGGAACGGGCCUCGACUUGGGCGGCCAGCAGCUCGUCUUUAAGCCCUUCAAAGACCAACAUGAAGAAAUUAGAUAAAACCAAGCACACCUCAGAAACGAGACUCGAUAGUAGAAACGUACCACGAAUGCUCUCCUCCAGAGCCAUAUUCACGCCAACCAAGUCAGUGUUGGCCCUCUCGAUCUCUUUGUUGCAGCGCACCAGCUCGGUGUUGGCAACGCGCAGAUCCUCGAUCACCUUGCCAGACUACGUGAUGGCUCCAUUUUUCUCCAGUAGCUCUCCCUUCAGACGGUCAACAUCGUCAGAAAGGCCGCGAGAUCGAAUCCGCUCAGCCUCGAGAUCUUCGAGGGCCUUCUUCUUGGCCUCCUCCACGGCGCUCCGAGCGAUCUCGCCAUUCACACACUCCACCUUCAUCCUUUGAAAGGUCUCUCGGGCGGAGGCAAGUUCAGUCUUAAGGAGGCCCUUCUCCUUGUCUAGGUUAGCAGCCGCCCUCUUGUAAGACAGGGCCUCGUCCUGGGCCUUGGACGCGGCCUCCUCGACUACCAUGGUCCGCUCCCUCAGAAGCGCAGCCUCUUCCACCGCUUUCUUCGAAGCCUCUCGAGCCUCAGCCAGAGCAGCCUCCCUCUCCUUCUUCUCCUCCUCAAGUGCCAAAAGCUCUUUAUAGGCCUUGAGGAGCUUCUCCUACGACUCUAGGAGUUUGUCCUUGAGAAUGGGGAGUUGCUCCCAGCCGCCUCUCGUGGCGUGGAUGAAGCUCGAUUUAAUGCGGGAGGUCUCUUUCAGGUCCUGCGAUCCAGCGAUUGGGUAAUUAGCACACAAAAUCAAACGUUCUAUAAGGAUUAAAGCCCGAAAAACACUUACAAAGUAGGCCAGUCCGAGCCCGUUAUUAACAACGUCGGACAGGAGCCCCACCGUAUGCUUCAUCUAGAGGCGAAGCUCCUCGACGUGGUCCCACGUUUCGGCCUCCUUCCGGUCGUCUAGGAAAAUAUUGGGUUCACACGGAUUGGUGGAAGCUCGGAUGCGGAUCCGGUCGGGGCACCAGUUCUCCAUCUCCUAGUCGGCGCACGCCUUGACGACUCAGAUGAGCUCCUCAACGGUCUCGAGCGACCCCCCAUGGUGCAGGAACAAGUCGACAAGGGAGGGGAACCGCCCGUCGUCGUCCACCGUCUUCCAGGUCCCGGUCUCGCGGCCUCCACCACGGCCUGACGUUCCAGCCUCGUCCUCCUCAGCAGGAAUGCGGUCCUCCCACGACCGACACUCUCGAAGGAACCCCGGAGCAAUCCCGUCCAUGCCGUAGAUCGUACCCUUGAUCUCGGACUGAGGGUCAACGGGGGUGCGCAUCAUACUGGCGAGCGCCGCCACACCGUCCGCCCGCCCCGACUCUGCUGGGAUCGAGGCGGGCGCCCCUGGACGGAGCCACGCCGGGGUCGGAGGGCCGUAAACUGGUAGACCCUCCUCUCGGUUUCGAGGCUCUUGUGGCGCUGGUGGCACUAGUCGGGGCGGACUGUGAGAGGGAGGCUCGAGCAGAUCCUCUAACUGCUGGCCCCUCUGCUGCUGCUCCUCCUGGAGCUCCCGCAGCUCCCGUUGACGGUCCUGCUCCAGCAGCUCCUUGAGCUGGGGAACCGCUGGCGGCGGCCCCUCCUCUCCUUCUUUCUCCUGCGGCUGAUGCUCCUCCUACGGCUGUCGCCGCAUCUCUUGCUCCCGCUCUUUUUCCUCCUUCUUCCUCUGCUCCUCGACGGAGUGGAGCUCGAUGGGCCAAGGUGUCUGCCUCACGAUGGGAGAGGCCUCGACCUCCUCGUCCAUAGGGCGGGCAUCCCUCGGAGGCCCAUCGCCAGACCCGUCACUUAUAGUGAUAGGAUCUGCCUCGACCCCCGAUCGAGGAGGCUCGGGGGCUCCCUCCGGCUCUUGGAGACGGGGUGCUUCAACCCGCUUUGGCGACGAUGGGGUGGACUCCACCACCGUUGGGCGAGGCAGAGCACCCUCGAUACCGGUCAACGGCCGAGGAUCGGAGGAGCCUGCAAGCACCCGAUAGCAAAAAUCAGUCGCCAUAAUAACCAACACAAAGCUAACAUAGAGUUAGGAAUGAACCGCUAACCUGAAUCCAUGCAGGCCGCUCCCACCUUGAGCCUUUUAGCCAUCGAGGGCUGAGCCUGCUCGAGUGUUCGCUUCUACCUAAGAAAGAGGAACAGGCAUGAGAGAAGCUAGGGGAGUGCAGAGACAUCGAAGGACAGGAAUCAUGACAUUGAAACCUUACCCCAUAGGGAGAGUGACCCGCCAACCGGUACCUCGACCGGCGGGCCUCGAGCUGCCCCGCGUCAAGGCUCCAGGCACCUCUCGAGCAGGCGCCGGCCUCGGCUCGACAUCUCCCGCUUGGCCGGUGCCUGGACUGGCGCUCCUGCGAUCCGUUCCCCCCUUGCUGGAAGCCGCAGCGCGGCCGCGAGUCAGCGGCCCCGCCGUCAAUUACUUGACCCGAUGGCCCGCCUUAGACGCGGGAGGGGGCUGGGGGCGGGAGACAUCCCGACCUGGUGCAGGUUCUGAAGGAGUGUCGGCGCGGGGACGUCUCCCUCCGCUGACUUUCACGAGACCCGCUUGGCGCCCCCCUUUGGACUUCCAUCCGUGGGACGUCGACGGCGGUCGGAGGCGGGCCAUCGAGGAUCUGGUCGAGACGGGACGCCAUUCCCUCGAAAUCGUCGAUCGUCGUCACCAUCACCGCCAUCAUCCUCAUUGGGGGAUUCUUCUUCAGGCUCCCCCCUUUGCCUGGACUUUGCUCGACGCGCCUCUAACGCUUGGCGAUCGAGAUUCUUCUUCUUUUCCUUCUUCUUUUCUCAGUCCUUUGCGAACUUUUGCUUUUUAGCGGACUGGCGCCGCUUGUCGCGGUCGACCUCGUCCUCCUUUACUGGAGGCCUCGAGGACCGAACGUCGAUCGGUCCCUGCGAGAGCAAAGACAAGCUUAAAGAGGGAUCAAAGGAAAUCCAGAAUCGAAGCCAUAUGCAAGAAAGGAACUUACCAGAUCGAUUGACCCCACGUCAGGCCUCAUAGGGAAGCCAUUGACAUGCUCCGACUGGAAGUCGCCAGCGACAGCCGCCCUGACCCGAACCGCGACCUCAUCAUCCGCCGGAGCCUCGUUGGACAUCCGGCACGCCUCGAGGUCCCAGGACGAAACGCCGGGACCCAUCUCGUCCAUCCUCAGCGGCCGAGACAUCAACGGGAGAACCCUCCGAAGAUGGACGGCCGAGAGGACGAGAGCGGCGGUCAGGCCUUCCUCGUGUAAUUUCUUCAAGGCGUCGAGGAGGGGGUCGAGAUGCGAUUGGUGGACUUGGACGACGCCGUACGUCCAGUUCUCUGGGCGCUCCAUGAUUAAGCGACCGGUGUAGGCUGGAAGGAGGCCAUCAUCGUUCUGCAAGUAGAACCACUGGGAGUCCCAUCCGGCGUGGUUCGAUGAUGAUCCCACUGGGAUGUACUCGCGUGGCCUCUCCGUUUUGCCGGUCUUCAGCACUAGAUUGAGGCACCCGGCCCGCACGGGUUUCCUCACUCCAGCAGUUCCGGCGGGAGCAUUGAAAAGCUCGCCCCGGUACAGGUGGAGCCACAAAUCCCAGUGGGGCAUCAUCCCCAAAUAGCCCUCACACACCGUGGCAAAGACUGCCACGACGGUGAUGGCGUUUGGGGAGAAGUGCUGGAGCUCCACCCCGUGGUGAUGGCAAAGUGCCUGCAUGAAGCGACUCGGAGGAGCUCCCAAGCCGUGGCGGUGGAACUUGGCAAAUGAAACCAUGUAGCCCUUGGGUGGAUUGGGCUCCCGGUGGUCCGCCGCUGGCGCGAUCCACUCCGGCCGCGACGACGACGUGCGGGGGUGUAGGAGUCCCUCCCUCUCAAGCUCCAACAGCCGGCGCUCCGUCAUCGACGACGGGCGCCAGUCAUCGGCGGCGACGAGUCUCACAGGCAUUUUUGGGUGAAAGAAAGGCAAACUCACUACUACUCAAGGGUGCGCGCGCACGUGAGAUGGCAACGGAGCUGAGGCAGGAAUGGAGGCAGAAGGCGGAAGGGAGAACGGCAGCAAGGCCACGGGAUAUUUAUAGACGGCAACCCGCCAACGGACAGAUCCGAUAAACACGGUAACUCCCCCCAUAAAUGCGCCGCCUAACAGUCUUUUUCCUCCUCACAGACGGGACGCUACGAAUUCUGCGCCGAUACAGUGUCGCAACGGCCACCGCCUGAAAAGAUGCACCCAACGGGCAAAACGGUGAACCGCCGCGGUCCUUUUCCUUCCCCUAUAAGCCAAGGUACGUACCCAUGAAAGUCUCGAGAGGUCGCAGGCUAACCCACCGAAAGGGUUCGAUAGUCGAUCUCGAGUACCAGAGUCAGGGAUGCCCGGCGAGUGGUCGAAAAUCGAGGCCCGCCUCGAAGAACUCGCUGGGGAUGUCCGAGGUGGGGUUGAGACAGCCGAGAGGAAUCCCCCGAAGGGAGGCAUCGAGCCACUGGACUCUAUCAAACGAGACCAGCAUCCCCGACCACGUCGACCCCGCUUUAUGAGAACGCCUCCAGGCUACAGCCGACCCCCUCGAAAGGGGCACAAGUUCUCACUUGGACUACCCGUUAGGAGCUCAAUCUAGGGUGGAUGACGCUCGCUCUAUCGAGAGUACGUCGAAACCCCUGCGCAAGACCGUCCAAUCAGAACCUUCCACCACAGGUGUCGACAGUGUUUCUGCAAAUUAGGCGACAUAACCCUCAAAGGAGUCAAAAACUCCUCCAAGGGCUCGGGGGCUACCCCCGCGGGGUCGCUCGCACGCCCCCACGGAACCUCAACCAUAAAGUAUAGCCUCCACUCGAGCGCCAGUGCUCAAAUGGAGACUUGGGGGCUACUGUCGGGGAUAUUUGUAAGGGGUACCUUAACUGAUGUGCAUAACAAGAACACCCGUACGUAAGUCGAGGCCUCCAACUCGACGCUCUACCCAGUCACACGUACGGUCCUCGACGACCGCAGCCUCGAAGACGGAAAGGGCAUCCUGCGAAACGAUCAGAGCUCGAGCGCAGGCUACCGUCGAAUAAGGAAACAGGCUCGAGCGAAUCAGAGGGCGUCGAGUGUCACAGAACCGACCAAAUUAUAAGAGUUCAAGUGCAGAAACGAUCGUCAAACAAUCAAGUUUCUAAACUUGAGCCCAUAUAAUCCCGGUAGUCAAUCGAAAUCACGAAGGACUUCAAACCAACUCGCAACAAACCAAGAUCGUAAUAGUUCAACAUAAACACAACGAAUGUUACAUAGUCAUUCAUUGCCGUCGAAGCGGCACCACAUCGGAGUAUUAAGUUAUUACAACACAUGUUCGAAGUAGCGGAAGCAAAAUAAGUACACACACUUGUUCUAAGUUCAGUUCACAAGUUUGUUACUGCCAGAGUCUAGGUCAUCCUUCCAAAAGCAUCAUAGACGAGAAGAUUAGAGAACCGUGCCCAACGGUUAGUCCUCAUCCCCAGCGGGAUGGAGACAGGUCUUGCAGAAACCGUCAUAGAAGAUAUCAUCUGCAACAGGUGGGAAUAAACCCUGAGUACGAGGAUGUACUCAGCUAGACUUACCCGUCUAGUAACAUAAAAGACACCAAGGAUCAUGCAAGGCUGAGUUUUAAGUGGAGCUGGUUCACUCACCUCUUUGCCAAAAGCUUAACUUACCACUAAGUUAUUUUAAGAGCAUCAGAUUUAUUUCUCAUCAGCCUACCACUAGAUUAGCACCUAUACUACAACACAUCAUUUGAUUAUUACAAACAAUAGUAACCAUAUCAAUUUCAUCAUAUGUUCUUCUUGCUAUCAUCAUUAUCAUGAACCAAGUUCAUUAGUGAAUGCUACGUUUGCCGCUGCACUGUCAAGUUCUCACUAACCGGGAGAGACGGCGAUUCGAAUCGAAUUCCUAUCCAGCUGGAGGUUUAUUCCUAGCACUCACCCAAGCAUCCCCUGCCGGAGAGCCAACGGGUCACCUUUGGUACGACUCAGAAAUCGCGGCUCCGAUCAGCGCCGCACUCCCAGGGCUACCACUCUGCCAGGGAGGUCAGGAAUUUUAACUCACCUGCCUUUGGACUUACGCCAAUGGUCCCCCGCACACCGCACUUCCUCCGGUAGUGCGCACUUUAUACUUGCCGGUCUUCCGGCCUGAGUCAUACUACUCGGCUUCGCGGUCGGAACGAGUUAUCCGGCCAACUAAGUGUCAGGCAUGCGUUCAACAUGACAAGAGGACGUACAACGAUCGGUCCUUAGCUGCCACAGACGGAGUCACUACAAACUUGCAAAACUCCGCCCGGCUUAAAUCAAUUUAAUCAGGUUCCAUCCACGAUAGCACAUAUAGACCAUCGCGACCCGACACAACCCUAUAUCGCGCGGAUGACAGGAUAUCACCCGACUUCUACCGGUUAAAGCAUAACUAAGCUACUACUCGAACCUAACUCUACAACCAGUAAGGGUAAGUUAUCUGGACAAGGAUAGAGUAGAAUGCAGCAACAGUUUCAUCACAACUCCUAUACGUAAUGCAUCAAUAGGUAUAACGUAUUAAGUAAACUUUCGAAAAUAGAGGAGGCUUAAAAUGCUCCGGGGCUUGCCUUUCACGAACGAUGCCGGCUCGUGACUCGGGCACUCAACUUCUUCUUCGGGCUCCUCGAGUCCGGCUUGCUGGACCUCCACCUCCUGGCUGCCUUCCUGGCCUUCGGGGUUCGCUUGGAGCUCGAAGGAAACUGCCACGUCCGGUGCACCUAUUGCAUGCUCGAUGAAUGAGAAGGUGCACAUGCCACAGAUGAAUGCUUAACAACACAAGCAACUCACUGGACACUCAUUUACGGAGCAAGAGUUAUACUAACUCACAUGAAUAAACAAGUUAACAUAACCCAAACCUAUCAUGGCACCAAAGCAGCAAACAACAUAAAACGAGUAGGCUCAGUAAAUAAAUCAUAAUUAUAGAUAGAUAGGUCCAACGAACAUGAGUAAGGACAUUCUGGAAAGCUUAGGAAAUUAUCUACAACUCAUCUUUAAACAUGACAGCAAGAUUCAAACAUUAAACUAGUCAUUUUAACAAAGUUCCAGGUUCUGUCCCAGAAAAACAGAGAACCCCUAUUUCUGGAACCCAACUUGGAACAGCUAUAACUUUUAAACUACUUGACUAAAUGACCUCAAAUUUAAACCACAGUUAGUUCAACAAGUUUAGAACAACUUUGUUUUAUACAAGUUCCACAGAAAGUCAAAUUAUCAUUAAGCCAAGUUAAAUUAUUCACUGGCUGUCCAGACAGCAUUUAACCCUAUAGUUAAUUAUUUAAUGACAUGAUCAAAACACAAACUAUGCCAACCAUAUGACUCAUGAGCACAAACAUAAUACAAGGUCACCAGAUCAUCAGUUGAAAAACCCAAAACAAUUACUUAACAAGGCAUUUAUUAAUUAAUUUUAGGUAAGGCAUAUUUACAAGAUAUUAGUUAAAGUGCUCAGAAAAAUCUACAAAAAUUACAGAGGCACAAGUAUAACAUCAGAUUACCACCAUAAAAAUUUCAGGACCAAUGCACAUGCCAAAUUAAAGAUAUGCAUUUAACAUGUAUUAAGACAUUUAUUUCAUAAAUUCAUAGACAUGACUUAUAUAGUGUCAACCAACAGAUUUCAGAUUAUUUAUGUCUUAGGAAUGCCAUAAACAAGUUUACCACCAAAAUAGAGCACCAGCAUAAGCACCAAUUAUUUUAUGUGAUUUAAUUAAAGAAACAAGCCAUAUUUCAAACACAAAUUACAUAUCACCACUGCAGUGCUCCAAAAAUCAUGAAAUAAUUAUCAGAGCACUCUAAUGCCAUGCAAAGGCCACCAUAAAAAUUUCAGAGCAAACAACUCAGUAAAACCAGAGAUAUGCAUUUAUCCAUGAAUAACAAGAUUAAAUCCUUAAUAAAUAAUUUCUCAGAAAACAUGAUUCAUUUUAUAUUUUUAUUAAAUACUAGCCAUCUCAAGAAACAACACAAAAUUUGUUUCACAAUUUUUGGAUCUCAGAAACAGGAGAUAUGAUUUUUGCAAGAAAGCCAAAAAUCAAGAUUUUGAAUAAAAGAAAAGGAGGGAAAGAGAGAGUCGCUGACAGUGGAUCCCACCCGUCAGGCUCUUCUUCCUCACGGCCUAGGCGAUCUUCGCCGGCGAUUUCUCCGCGACGGCGAGGUCUCCGGCCAAACCCAGGGCAUCAACGUGAUCCCCAAACCCUAACGACUCGAUUGACCCCACUUUUGCCACGGCGGAGCCACCGGAAGGGACUCACCGUCGGCAAUGGCGGCUCGGCGGAGGUGCUCGGCGUUACGCCGGAGCCCUCAGGCCGGUAGAGCGUGACCUAAGGCCUUCUACAGCACCAGCAGACUAGGGCGAAGCUUCCUAGGUACGCGGCUUGGCCUGGAUCCCCGUGGAAAGUGCUGGCCACGAGAGCACCCAACUCCGGCGGAAGCACGGCGGCGCUGCACACCGUGUCCGGCGACGGAGAACCCGGUAGAGCGUCCACCAGGUGGCGCAAAAGCUCGCUAAAGACCUAAGCUACCUCUAGGACCUAACCAAAGACGAUGAGAAGCCUCACAACGCUCGGCAUUGAGUUCGCCGGAGAAGAGAGUCACGGCGGACCGAUUUGGGGGAAGAAAGAAAUGUCGGCUCACCGGUGGGUUUCUCGGCGAGUUAGAGGGUGGAGCUUGGAGAGCGGCUCACGGCGGAGCUUUGGGUGGAGUUUGGUGGACGAAAACGCAGAGAGGAGCGCACACGAGCUCGCCGGAGUGAGCUCGCGGCGGAGAGCUCGCUGCGGGCGAGGUUCAGGCGAGAGAGGGCGAGGCAGAGCGAAAUGGACGCGUCCACUCGCUCGGGGCGUCGCCGUGGUGGUCAUGCACGCGACGAGGGCUGACAGGCGGGGCCAGGAACGGCGUACGGGCGCCAAAUGGCGACGGAGCGCUGCCGGCGGUCGGCCACGUCGACGAGGUCCAAGUCGAUUCAGACAGUGCAUCGACCGACUGACAGAGCGAAUCCACCGGUGAUUAUCUCCCAAACCAGAGCGAAUUAGGAGAUGAUGCAGUUGACAAAGUUGGAGUUCCAAUCGAGUUCUACAACAUUGUCAACUAGAGCAAGGACUAGAUCGGCCUGGAUUGAAAGAUAUAGAGUUUUCAAAACCGAUCAAGCAAACUGCAAACCACCCGGGGACUUAGAAAAUUUCCUAAGUGUUGGAAACAGCCCCAAAUUUGCCUUGUGGGUCACUUUUGAGCUAGAUGUGUUCAUUUUCAUGAGAUGGCCAUAAAACAAAUUUUGUUCCUUAUAAAAUUUUCUACAACUUUGCUGUAGAAAGUUUUGACAUGCAAACAUUUUAUGAAACACUUUUUAAAAGCCUAAGCAAAAGAGGUUUCUAGGGCCUAUUUGCAUAAGUAAGACUUAAGUGAUUAUUUUGGAGAAGUGAUCAACAUGAACAUUGUUCCCAAGAUUAAGUUAAGCAUAGAUAAGCUAUUUACCAAGGCAUUAAGCACAAACACAAGCAUUGUUCACUCAAACAUAAGCAUAGGAAGCCUAUUUAAGCCAUUUAAAACACAUUUUUGCAAAGGAUGACAUGUCCCAAGAUAGAUGAUGAUCAUGGAUGCUUUGAAUAAAUGAUGAUGCUCAUGCUAUGCACAUGUUUGAUGCAGCCAUAACACUGGGGUGUUACAUCGAGCGCAAGGACUCCGCCCGCCGCCUGACGCGGGCACGAGAACUAGGGCAUUUAAUGCGCCUGCCGCGUUCUCACCUAACCCGCAGGUCACGGGAAGCGUGAUAGGGAACAGGCACGCGUCCCGUCAUUCUUUUUGCAGCCUUCCCCACCAAACAAGCCAGAACGUGGCAGAACACAGGGAGUGGGUCGGAACGUCUAUUCAUGACCCCCCUCGAGACGUCUAAGGUCAGCGCCCUGGCUGGCAAGGCAUUAUACAGCACCAGACACUCGAGUAGGCACAUUUCCUUCCUGGAGAAGAGUUGGGCGACGGGUCACAGCACCCCGACCACCUCGACGCAGAUGCUGCCGUGACGUAAAAUGGGUGACAGCACCCCGCCACCCCGACGCAGAUGCUGCCGCGACGUACAAGCGUACAACAGAUAAACCAGCCCAGGACGGCGCACAGAGCAGGAUACCGGGGCACGCGUAAUCAUCAUCAAGCUAUCAGGACAAGAUGGCUCGAAACCACGCCGGUACGGAGGCCUCGAGUAGGUCAGCGCGCCAUACCUCUAACGACCCCUACUCUGACGCCUAUACAUGUACCCUAGGUCUCUCCUUGGAACUAUAAAAGGGGAGGCCCGGGAGCGGAUACAGGGGACGCGAUACAACACAACAUCACACAACACACACGUAGUAGAGCUUCCAUACUCCACCUCCAUCCCAGUUCAUACACGCUUGUAUUCACCCCCGUACAAGCACUUAGGUGCAGAAUAAUACAAACUCUCCCCCCCGCUGGACGUAGGGCCUUCUCUUGCCCGAACUAGGAUAAAUCUUUGUGUCUUUUUGCAUCACCAUCUAGGAAAGGGAGCACGCAUACAAAUUUACUGGUUGGUGUGACCCCCCGGGGGGAAAACACUGACACAUUGAGUGGAAACUUUCCUAGCAUUUAUAUCCCUGAGAAAGAGAAAGAACCAGUUCGUAGACAAGAAGAAGAAGUUUUGAUAGCAAGAUCACAACCACUUCAAUCCCAAACUUUAGCUAUCGAUCCUAAACCAUCAAUACCCCAAAAUUCUCCAAGGGAGGAAGGAAUUACAACUUUAAAUCUUUCAGAUACUGAUGGUUUAGACUUCUGGUUCCAUAAGAGACCUUCAAGUAGGGAUAAUUCAAAUCCUUGCAAUAAUGGUUCUCUUAGAGAAUGUCCUGGUUCCUAUUGUGAAGAAGUUGAGGAUGACAUAUCAAGUGAAGGAGAGCUAAACCAUAUAGAAGAUUCUAUCUGCUCAACUUCCAUGUUCAUAAAUUCUAAAUCCAUCCUUGACCUUAGAGAUCCCUCUUAUCCCUCUUCUUUUCAGUGUCAUGAUGAUCCUAGCAAUUCACCAAGACGACCAAACCAUAGUAGUCAUGAAGACCAUAAGGAUGGCAUCCCAAGUAAUGCCAUAGAAGGAGAGCUAAGCCAUAGAGAAGAUUCUAUCAGCUCCCCUGUCUUGAUCACAAGUUCUAAAUGGCUAGAAUGCGUAGAAUGGAUGGAUAAGGAAGAAGCUUUAAUGGAUUCUGACUUUGGCUCAAUUUCAAAUGGUGAGUUCUUGACUCCCUUUGAAGAUGAGAUUCAUCCAACUACAGAAGAGGACAUAGGUGAGACCGAUCCAGGAGAAACUCUGAACAUUCAGAUUGGAGACGAAGAUAACUUUAAUGAGCAUGAAAUUUAUUUCAUAGCCAUUUCGUUUACUCCAUGCUCAUAUGCAACAUCUUCCCAAUCUAUUGGUCUCUCCAACAUCACCACAUUUGAGAUCUCCAACCCCCUCUGCCUUUCUAUUUAUAAAAACUUUAAAAGGGUGGUUGUCGAAGCAUAUGUCUAUAAUAAAUAUUGCAGAUCUCGUUGAAUUGAUCUUGAUAUAGGUCAGCAUUGCAAGGGAAACCACUUAGCCGACAUAAAUUGAUGGUUUCCCAAGGACAAGCUUAGUGUCUUAAAAUAAGCACUGAUCAGAUCCUAACAUGAGCUUUUAAUUAUUUACAACAUUACCUAGUGUAUUGAGCAUAUAAGGAUAAUCGUAAAAAUAUUCCUUCGGGUAUUCUUGUCACUAACCUUUCUAGGAUUGGAGCAAGAAGAUCGGAUAAAUGACAAGCACAAGGUAUGUCCAACGAAUCAUCAUACAACAUUGAAUUAAAUUCAUCCAAACUUGAAUUUUGCAAAAUUCAAGCUUGGCGGAGUACUUUACAUAAAAACAUCCUUUGCCAUGUUGCUAUGUUGGUUGUCCCUACCUUUGAGACAUGCUCAAUUUGUUAAAUACUAAUCACACUACUUCAUCUCCACUUGAGUAGAUCUCUAUAUAUGCUCUCAUGCUACCUUUAUUUGCUUUAGUAUAUGUUUAGGUUUGGAGUAGUUUCAUUUAUCUCUUAAAUAAGCAUGGUGCUUAGUUUAGGAAUGAUGAUCUUACUUCCAAGGGAUUUUAAAUUAAGCAUGGUGCUUAGGUUAAAAUGCCCUCCUAAAUCAAAUUAGACAUGGUGUCUAGGUUGAUUUUUGAGCCGAUAGUAUGCUAUAGUAGAUAUUGGAUAUUUUGUUGGACUAACCCCUGCAGGAAAACUUUCAAUAUCGAUUUGGGAAGUCCUGAGAUAAACUCACAUUGGAGACAAAGAGAGAGACACAUCAUGUUUAACAAUUUACACAAGGAAGACGUAGCUCAUAAGAGAUGAUCCAUGGAGGGUGCCGCAAACAAGAUGCACAAAGAAAGGAAAGCUUCUACAAGGUGAUACUGUACCAUCACUCUUCAAUUAAGGUAACAUCUUAAGGUACUUGACUAUCACUUUUAUAAGCUUCUCCUUGGUUCUGGCAUUCAUAUGAAUAAAAGAGACAAACAUGUAUGAUUUACAACUCUAAGUUAACCAACCCAAUCGAUUCAACAUGUUUAGUCCUUCCACCUUUGUGAUCCCACACUCCUAAUCAUAUGAGCUAAAAUAUUGCAGAUUCAAUCUUUGAGAGAUAUAAAGAAAAAGACAUAUACAUAGAUAGAUUAUCUUUCCAUAAGGUUGAAGCGAUCUGAUCUGACAAAUGUUUUAAAUACUACACUCAUGAUCUUGUUAUCCAUCAAAUUUGUCUUGCUCACUAUGCUUAAGGUUAGAGAAGAACAAAUACACUUUUGGUUCUGUUGGUGUUUUCCACCAACAGGACCCAUGCACUUGAUCUCUGCCUUGUCUCUAUGAGCAAGUACACUUGGAGCAAAACAUGGUGGAGUUUUACAACUCCCAGAUUCCACCAAGUGAAAGACCUGGAUCUACGAGCACAAACACACUGAGCAGGAUGCUGCCAACGCCGCACUUCGAACUGCUGGGCAAAUGAAGAACAUGGGUGACACCGUAUCAAGAGGUGCAGACGUCAAGGUCCACACCUGAAUCAAAUGACGCACCUAACGAAUGAACACGGUGAGAAGUCUUGUUCAGAAGACUUAAAACAUUGAACCCUCACCGAAAGGUAAAAUCGGUAGUUAUCCAUAUUUAUCCUUUUUGCAUUCCCUUUUCCCUUAAAUUAUUUACUGUUGACACCAUUUUUGGGCACGUGUCCAGGAUGGCAGGAUAGGGUGGCAGUACGAUGCGGGUUGCUGAUGAGGAUGGUUGCCGAUGAGGGAGAGGUUGAAUGUGACUAAGUCCACAGGCAGUAAUAUGGUGCCGAUGACUGGAUAAAAAGGUCUGCCGAUGAUUAUGGCAAGGGGAUUGCCGAUGACGCGAAGGAGGAGUCCGGAAGCUGCCAGUUGUCAUGUGGAGGAGUUUCGGUUUGUCACGAAGGAUAGUUUUAUUAUUUCCUUAGUUAUUUGCAUCGUUUUGUAUACGGAUUCCGUGUAAUUUGGAAUUCGAAUUCUAAUCGUGUCUGGUCGUAGCUCUUUGAGCAGGGUAUAAAUAUAAACCCUAGGACCUUGUAAUCAAAGAAAAAAAAGAAAUCAAUCAAACACACGUUUUUACUCAUAUUCCAGCAUCUACUUUUCGACGACUUCGUCAUACUUUUUUUUCCUUUUAUUACGAGUUCUUAGGAAUUCGUCGACUUAAGCUCGGCGUGUUCUCGAGUUCCGCGUGAGUACCUCUUAGCCGUGACAUCCGGGCGCAUCGCUGUUGUCAGGACUAAAGUAUUCGAGUUAUCACCUUUGCCGAUAGCAAGGUCAAAUCGGCUGGCACGCCUUAACGUUUGAAUCGGGUAUUAGCCCUUUGUGUUUGCAGAUCAGUUUUGCAUCAACACAUCUUUUGGCACGCCUGGUGGGACCGAUUCAAGAUCAAGAUCAACAUGUCGAUCUCUGACCUCGAUCAAGAGAACGUCAUCCCCGUGACGGAAGCCAACCUCAAGGAUGAGCAAAAGCAAGCUAUUGCCCAAGCCAUGGAAGAGUUCAAGCAGCAAUGCCUGAGGUCUUUCAGCAUAAACAGGAGCGGCGAAGUGGUCCAGAAAGAUGCACUGCCGGCACCACGGCAGGUCACCUUUGACGCCAAUCCUGGCAAGCUUCAAGAUAUGGUUGACAAUGCCAUCAAUCGGGCGUUGAUUAACCAAGCUGGUGUACUGUCUAAUACGGUUUUCAAUGCCGUGGCAAGAACUUUCAAGGAAGGACAAAUCCCGCCAGAUUAUGUGGGGCCCUCCCAUCAUCAGCCAACGGCACCAGAGGUCACGGCUCCAUCGGCUGCCUUGACGAAUGCAAGUGCACAGUCUGCCGUCCCUCCAAGUACAUUGGGGACUACUGGUGCACUAUCUAUGCCGAUGGCAACCAACCCACAAAUUUCAGUUGGGCAGCAUAAACUGACAACAGAUAUGUUGGCAUCGGCAAUGUCAGGGUUAACUCUUCCUCCCAACUGGUGGGGUUAUGGUAUGCCUCCAGAGUUGACGCCGGGAACAUCACAGAUAACUGACAUGAGGGGCAAAACUCCUAUGACAUCGGCACCUUCCAAUGUGCCGGUGAACCAGAGUCCUCGGUAUACCACAACUACUACUGCAAGGCCUCACACUGGAAAUCCUCAAGAUUCAAUGUUCCAGAUGCCCAACGCAUCGGCAGAGUCAAUGCUGAUGCAACAGAGGCCUAUGGCCCAGUCGGGGUAUGUCAAUUCAAUGACGGUACCCAAUUACCAAUCAUCGGCAGCACCUAUGCCGAUGAACGCUAAUAAUGGAUGGCUUGGACAGCAAGCCUUUCCACAAUCGCCCCAGCAGGGUUAUCAGACUACAGGGUUCCAGCAAGGGCAGGUCUAUCCCGGGUUCCAAGGUCAGGGGAUUCCCAACCAGCCAAUAAAUUUUGGGCAGCAACUCAGAGGACAGCCAAUCGGUGGACAGCAGUUUGGUAGUCCGCAGAUUGGAGGACAGGUGACCAAUACAAUGUUCCAUGCAGGUCACGUCCCAAACAGACACCUGGAGGUUCGCCACCAAGUGCCAGAUCCGCAGCCGCCUCAUCGGCAAGAUGCCGAUGCGUAUUGGGCCGAUAAGAUUGCUGAAGUAAUGAGGGAACAAUUUGGGAUAAAACCCAAAGUCAACACUUAUUCUUAUCGGACACCGUAUCCUCCAGCGUAUGAUUUGAUCCCGCUUCCACAUCGGUACAAGGUACCGGAUUUUACAAAGUUUUCCGGACAAGACGACACGUCAACUAUGGAGCAUGUCAAUAGGUUCAUUAUUCAAUGUGGAGAGGCUGGUAACAGGGACGAAUUGAGGGUUCGUCUAUUUUCAUCAUCAUUGUCUGGAUCGGCCUUUACUUGGUUCAUAUCAUUACCUCCCAACUCAGUAAUUACUUGGGCCGAUCUAGAGAAGCAAUUCCACAGAUACUUCUUCUCGGGGGUUCAUGAGAAGAAGAUCACCGACUUGGUCAAGUUGAGGCAACGUAAUGAUGAGUCGGUUGAGGGAUUUGUGCAGAUGAUACGAGAGGUCAAGAAUAAAUGCUAUAGCCUGGUUCUGGAUGAUCGGCAGCUAGCCGAUUUGGCUUUCCAGGGUUUGUUGCCACAUAUCAGGGAUAAGUAUGCCUCUCAGGAGUUCGAAAGUUUAAGUCACUUGGUGCAGAGGAUAUCUGAUCAAGACAUCAAGCCUUUCGAGCCUAAGAGGGCAUGGAAUAAGAAAGUGUCAUUUGUUGAUGAAGCAACAAGCUCAGAUUCCGAUGAAGAACCAGUAAUCGGUUUGGCAGAGUGGGUAAAAAACAAGAAGCCGAUGUCUUGUCCUUUUGGGCAGAAGGAACCAGAGAAGUUUGCCUUUGACACCGCCAAGGCCGAUAGGAUAUUUGACUUUCUACUUCAGGAAGGUCAAAUCAAACUGUCACCUAACCACGUGAUCCCGUUGGCAGAAGAGUUGAAGAGGAUGAGAUAUUGCAAGUGGCAUAAUGCAACUUCACAUGACACCAACGAGUGCAAAGUAUUCAGACAGCAGCUGCAAUCGGCUAUAGAGUCAGGGAGAAUCAAGUUUGACAGUUCUAAAGCCCAGAAGCCGAUGAAGAUAGACCAACAUCCUUUCCCGACAAACAUGUUGGAUGCUAAGGGGAAGGCUAAGGUCUUAACGUCGGAGACAGCUGAGAAGAGUGCAUCGGUAGAUCCUCAGCAUCAAGUUACUACUGCCGAUGCAAGAAGUAAAGGCUUGGUCCAGGAAGGAACUAGCUCAAGAAGGCUUCCUCGAUCUGGCAUCGUCAUAACUCAUAGGAGGCCUCGAGAAAAAUGGCAACAACGGGAAGAUCGGUAUCGACGCCAGCAGGAAGAUUAUCAACGGGAAGAAGAAAGCCGCCGGCAGGAGUGGAAUCGGCACAGGGAUCAUUGGAAUUGCCCAUUCUUCAUCCAUUGUUGGGAGGAAAAUAUCAAGCUUCCUACUGUCAGAGACUGCCCUGAAUGCAACGGUUAUGAUCGGUACGAUAGGAACGAUCGGCGUUAUCAUGAUGAUGAACGGCGAGCUAAUGGGCCGAUCAGAAGAAGGGUGUCAGUUCAUGACCGGCUGGGGGGCAGAUUCAGUGGGCACAACAGACUUAGUGACCGUGUCCAGUAUUUUCCCAGGAACCAAGAGGAGCUCGAAGGAAUGGCUGAUGCGCGGGUUCCCGAUGAAUUCAUAUUUUGCAGGGAUGCUAACACGCAUCGCAUGGAGUCAAGGGAGAACCAAUGCCCGACGGCAAGGCAAAGGCCACUUCCUCCAUGGUGCCCUCAAGGAUUAACCAAGACACAGAAAAGGAGAUUGCAACGAGAAAGGCAAGAGGAGCUAAACAAGGGAGAGAACUCUGGAAGUCGGCAGCCGUCAGACACUAAGAGGGAAGGUCCAUCGGCAGGCGUCAACAUGGUCUUCAUGUUGCCGAUAGAGUUUCUUGCACCAGCCAGUGACGAUGAGUUGGAAUUUUCUGAUCAGAUAGCUCAGUUGGCUCUGGAUCCGAUGACGGCUAUCUUUGAGAAACCUGCCGAUGACGAGAGGCAGCAUCUUAAAGCUUUGUUCCUCAAAGGAAGGGUUGAUGGGCAGCCAAUGACUAAGAUCCUAGUUGAUGGUGGAGCUGCUAUUAAUAUUAUGCCGUAUGCAGUAUAUCGGAAGCUUGGGAAAGGGGAUCAAGAUUUGACCAAGACCGAUAUGAUGCUCAAAGACUUUGAAGGAAACGUGUCUCCAGUCAAGGGGGCGAUAUGUGCGGAGUUGACCAUCGGCAGCAAAACCUUGCCGACAACUUUUUUCAUGAUCAGCGGAAAAGGUGCCUACAAAUUAUUAUUGGGGAGAGAUUGGAUUCAUGCCAAUUGUUGUGUCCCAUCUACAAUGCAUCAGUGCUUGGUUCAGUGGGUAGGUGACAAGAUUGAGAUCGUCCCAGGGGAUUCUUCUUAUGUUAUCGCAUCGGCAGAAGCGGAUACUUAUGAAAAGACUAGGUGCAUUUCAGGAGAAGUUUGGGAGAAAGAUUUUCUCAAAGUUGUCGAUUAUGAGAUUCCACCGAUCCAAGCAGUCGGUUCUGACGACGGUUUUUAAUGGAUAGAUUCGCCGAUGAUGGAAAAUUAGGCCAGGGAUUCACAUCGGCCGAUGAUUUGGUAGAAGUAGAUAUAGGUAGUGGUGAUAAGCCUAGGCCUACUUUUAUUAGUGCUAAAUUAGAUCCUGAGUGUAAGCGACAAUUGACUAGUUUGUUAAAGGAAUAUAAAGAUUGCUUUGCUUGGGAUUAUACAGAGAUGCCUGGUUUAGACCGAUCAAUUGUCGAACAUCGGUUACCCAUCAAGUCUGGAUUUCGGCCACAUCAGCAACCAGCCCGCCGAUGUAAUCCUAACAUUCUACCUGAUAUUAAGGCCGAAAUCACUAAACUUAUUGAAGCCAAGUUUAUUCGGCAGUGUCGGUAUGCCGAAUGGAUUUCCAAUGUUGUUCCGGUUUACAAGAAGAACGGGAAGCUUCGGGUUUUCAUUGAUUUCAGGAAUCUCAAUAAAGCUACGCCGAUGGAUGGAUACCCAAUGCCUGUCGCCGAUCUACUGGUUGAUGCUGCGGCUGGCCAUCGGGUCAUCAGCUUCAUGGAUGGUAAUGCAGGAUACAAUCAAAUAUUCAUGGCAGAGGAGGAUAUUCCAAAAACCGCAUUCAGGUGUCCUGGUCAUGUUGGACUAUUUGAGUGGAUAGUCAUGACUUUUGGGUUAAAGAAUGCUGGUGCUACUUAUCAAAGGGCUAUGAAUUUCAUAUUUCAUGAGUUCAUCGGCAAGCUCGUAGAGAUUUAUAUUGAUGAUGUGGUGGUUAAGUCUGGAGAUUUCUCAAAGCAUCUUGCCGAUUUACGAAAAGUGUUGGAGUGCACAAGGAAGCAUGGAUUGAAGAUGAAUCCCAACAAGUGUGCAUUUGGCGUAUCGGCAGGGCAGUUUCUUGGUUUCAUGGUACAUCAGAGGGGUAUUGAAAUUAGUCGAAGAUCUAUUGAUGCUAUCAAUAAAAUAGUGGCCCCUACCAAUAAAACCGAGCUCCAAUCCUUGAUCGGCAAGGUGAAUUUUAUCAGAAGAUUUAUAUCGAAUUUAUCUGGGAGGAUUCGUGCUUUCAGUCCUCUCCUUAAAUUGAAAGCCGAUCAAGAGUUUGUUUGGGGAGAAGAACAGCAGUUGGCUCUGGAUGAAAUCAAAAAGUAUCUAGUAAAUCCUCCAGUUUUAGUUCCACCUCAACAAGGGAAGCCCUUCAAAUUGUAUUUAUCUACCGAUGGAUCGGUUAUCGGUUCAGCUUUAGUUCAAGAAUUUGAAGGGAAAGAGAGGGUAAUUUAUUAUUUGAGUAGGAGGUUGAUUGAUGCUGAAACCAGGUAUUCGGCCAUUGAAAAGCUGUGCUUAUGCUUAUAUUUUUCAUGUAUCAAGCUGAGACAUUACCUGUUGUCGGCCGAAUGUGCUGUUGUUUGCAAAGAUGACGUGGUCCGAUACAUGCUAUCUAUGCCGAUUAUGAGUGGUAGGAUCGGUAAAUGGAUUUUAGCGCUGUCGGAGUUCGAUUUGCGUUACGAAUCGGCUAAGGCAGUCAAAGGGCAGAUUAUGGCCGAUUUUGUGACUCAGCAUUGCGGUCUAGUGGAAACCUUGGAAAUUGCACCCUGGACGCUCUUCUUUGAUGGAUCUACCUGUGACCGGGGAGCAGGAAUCGGCAUUGUAUUAGUUUCUCCUAAGGGGAGGAAGUAUGAGUUUUCCUUGCCGAUUGUUGCUACAUCAACAAAUAAUCAGACUGAGUAUCAAGCUCUGAUCAAGGGAUUGGAGUUGUUAAGAGAAGUUCGUGCUGAUGCUGUUGAAAUAUUCGGGGAUUCUAUGUUGGUUAUAAAUCAAUUGGCCGGAAGCUAUGAAUGCCGAAGUGAAGUUCUCAUAACCUAUUUCGAGAGAAGUAUGCAACUGUUAAAGGAAUUCAAGGACUUCCGAUUGGAGCAUGUUCCCCGAUUGCAUAAUGAAGACGCUAAUCGGUUAGCCCAACAUGCCUCGGGAUAUCAGCCAAUGAUUAAUGCGACAUCGGCAGUCAGUGCCGGUGAUUGGAGGAAAGAAAUUAUUGAUUAUCUAAAAGAUCCAUCCAAAAAAGUUGAAAGACGGGUUCGAUUUCAAGCGACCAAGUAUGUGCUCCUUGAAAAUGAAUUGUAUUAUCGAACUAUCGACGGAAUUCUUCUCCGAUGCUUGGGUGAUGAUGAAGCCAGAAGUUUGAUGGGGGAAAUCCAUGAAGGAGUGUGUGGAGCGCAUCAGUCAGCUUUUAAGAUGAAGUGGAUGAUUCGAAGGAAUGGUUAUUUUUGGCCAACCAUACUUGAAGAUUGUUUUAAAUAUUUCAAGGGAUGUCAAGGUUGUCAAAAGUUCGGUAAUAUCCAGAGAGCACCCGCAUUGGCUAUGAAUCCUAUAAUAAAACCUUGGCCGUUCCGGGGAUGGGCCAUCGAUCUGAUCGGCCAGAUUUAUCCACCAUCUAGCAAAGGGCAUAAGUUCAUUCUAGUUGCCACUGACUAUUUCACUAAGUGGGUCGAAGCUAUUCCUUUGAAGAAAGUCACAUCGGCCAAUAUGAUUGAUUUUGUGAAGGAGCAUAUUAUUUACCGAUUUGGGAUUCCCCAAACGAUUACCACCGAUCAGGGCACCAUGUUCACGUCAGGGGAGUUCGAUGAAUUCGCAAUCGGUAUGGGAAUUAAAGUGUUGAAUUCUUCUCCUUACUAUGCCCAAGCCAAUGGGCAGGCCGAAGCGUCUAACAAAGGAAUUAUCAAGCUUAUUAAACGAAAGAUUGAAGAAAAUCCUAGGCGGUGGCAUACAUUGCUAAAUGAAGCACUAUGGUCUUAUCGGAUGGCUUGUCAUGGAUCAACCAAGGUGUCACCCUAUCAAUUGGUGUAUGGACAUGAUGCAGUGUUGCCUUGGGAGAUUAAGGCUGGAUCUAGGCGAUUAUCUUUUCAAGAUCAAUUGGCUGCCGAUGAUUAUGCCACUUUGAUGACCGAUGAGUUAGAUGAUUUAGCAGGGCAUCGGUUAAAGGCUUUAAUGAGUAUAGAAGAAAAUAAGAAGAGAAUUGCUAGAUGGUAUGAUAAGAAAGUAAAGGCUAAGGAGUUUACCGAUGGGGAUUUGGUAUGGAAGUUGAUUUUGCCAGUCGGGACUAAAAGUUCGAAGUUUGGGAAGUGGUCUCCUAAUUGGGAAGGUCCUUAUCGGAUAAGACACUCGGCUCCUGGUAAUGCCUAUAUUCUAGAAACUCUCGAAGGAGUUGAAUUUCCCAGAGCAUUAAAUGGCAAAUAUUUAAAGAAGUACUACCCCAGCAUAUGGGUCGAUGCAUAAAAGUUUAAGUGCCGAUAACACUCCUAUCGGCUGGAUUUAAAUGUUUGGGGGCAGACUUAAUGUUUCAAAAGAUGCCGAUAACAGUCUUAUCGGCUAGACUAAAAGCUAAAAGCGGGAAAACAAAGGUGUGUUGCCGAUGAAAGCUUCAGAUGUUCAGCAGCGCUUGGAUUGCCGAUAUGGCGCGCAGCCGGAUCUGAUUGGCUGUCUCUAUCUCUUUGAUAUCAUCAUCGGCAGAACCUUCUAUCGGCCUCAGUUUCCUCUUCAGCUGCAGCGCUUUGCGGCCGUGGACGUUUCGUUCUUGUUCAAGGUGCUUGAUGGUCUCCGGCAGUUGACUCUCUUCUUGCUGGGCUUGGGACAGAGCAUCCUCUACUUGCUUGAGUUCGACCAGUAGAGCUUCUCUUUUUGCCGAUAGAUCAAAUACUUUCUGCUUCAGUGCAUCACCUGAGGACUUUAAGGUGCCGAUGUUCUUAUGUUUCUCGUCGGCUAAGAGUUUUUCUUUCAUCAUCUCCUCAGAGAGCUGGAUUUGAGCGGCUCUAUCGGCAAGGCGUCGAGUAGCUCUCUGGUACUGUAGCUGGCGGCUUUCUAGGUAUGCAGCAUGGAAGAGCGUUUCUUCAGCAUCGGCAGGAAUUUGGCCUCUAAGGGUUUUGAACAAGGCCUUGGAUGGGUCAGAAUCGUUGACCAGCUGAGCAGUGUCUUGAUGAAGUAUGGCCGAUAGCUCCUCCAGCUUAGCCCUGGUUUCUACCGAUACAGUCCCAAUUGCCCGAGAGGAGCUUGCUUCCUCACCUUCUUCUUCGAAGAUAUCAAUGGCGAAGGAGAAUAAGCUAUCGAGAGAAUCUUGUUCCUGAAAAUGAGAAUGAAAUAAGUCAUUUUUAUGGUCAAAGCUUCGGCAGACGAUGCUGGUGGAAAAGUUGGAUGACUUACUUGUUUCAGGGCAAUUUCUUGCCUUUGACUCAAAGAUACUGAUGGAACUACAGGUUGAUCGGCAGAUGUUGCCGAUGGAACGAUAUCGCCUGAAAGAAGACAGGAAGGGUUAUGAGACUAAAUGAGAAUAAGUUUAUCGGCGGAAGUAUUGUUGAGAUAUGUUACCCGGAGGAGGAACAACAGUUGUCCGAAUCGGGGAAACCGCCAAUGAUAUAACUGGACCUGCCGGGCCAGUUGUUUGUCCACCUACGUCAGCUGAUGUACCUUCCGUUUGAGGUUCUUCCUGCUGGGGUUCUUCCAUCUGUGGUGCUUCCUGUAUUGGUUGGGGAGAUGGUGCUUGCAGUGUCUGGACUUCUGGAGAAGAAGGGGAAGAUUCCACCGGAAUUGGAGACACCGGAGGAGGAGGAGUUGCCACUUUCUGGCGCUUUGUUCCAGCCUUAGCACCUUGGGUGCCCUUCCUCUUUGGCUGGCUAGACUGGGGGGCAUCGGUACCUUGGCGUUUGGCUUUUGCCGAUGCACCAGUUUGCUGCAACAACAAAAAGGAGUUUAUGAGCAUAGAUAGCCGAUACAAAGAUAGUUAGCAUAAAUGAAAAGGGUUUGACAAAUUGCCCUGAAAGCUUGCGCCAGAGUGGAAGCAGCUACCGUUGGCGAUGUCUGAGUCUUCCUGGUGGUAACUUUCUUGAGGCGCGCACCCCGGUGCACGAUGGAAGCCAGAGUGGGAGCAUUAUGGCCGAUUGAGGAGAUCGGGCCUGAUGGGAACAAGUCGAUCGGCUUGCCACUCCUGCUAACCGAUGGGGGGGUGUUGUCAAUCUGCAAAAGGAAUACAGGGGUAAGUUACCGAUGGAAAUAGUAUUGGAAAAUGAGACAUCGGUUUAAAAUACUUACAGUGUCAUCAGGGACUUCGUAUUCGGGGUCGAUCAUGCCGCGGUAUGAGAGGGCCGAUCUGCAGAAUAGAUUCUCUUUCCAUUCUGCCCACCAUAGCUUGUAUGCCUGAGUGAUAAAGGCAGCUGGAACCCAUUCUGACAGAUCUACAUCUGUAUCGGCAUUUGGUGGUAGCUGGGCUACUCGAGUCCACUCGAGAAGGUUGGCGAUGGGUUCUCUGGGCUUUAUUACAUCGGCAUAAGGAAGUGCAAUCGGCAAUUGGCCGAAAGCUACUGAUAAGGUUGAAGAUAUUCAGUAGGAUGAAUCGCAGAUGAACAGGAAUGCGAGAAAAAGUACAGGAGAUGAGAUGGAAGUCUGACCUCAGGGACGACGAAGCCAAUGGCCAUCUUGUCGUGAAGAGGACGUUGGAGGGCACCGGAGUUGAUGAAGAGGAGUGCUUGUCGGAGAUCUUGAGGGUUGUGAAUGGCGCCGCCGCUGGAAAAGCAAAGUUGGAUAGUAGAAUGGUGUAAUGGGGGAGGAGUACCCAAGAAGGAACUAUUUAUAGGACAAGAUGGGCAAGGGCAAAUCCGACUUAUUUCUUUGCCGCAUCCGAGAAGCCCAAGGGUACUCAAGUGGAUAUGGUAACUGUUCGCACGGUAAUCCAGGGAUUGUGCAGGUGAUUUGACAGGAAGCGGUCAUUAUCUAAAGAUAUUUUACUGUGCGAGAUCUCCUGGUCGGUCCAUCGGCGAUAUUCUAUAACGGUCAUCUUGCCGAUGGGCGGAUAGAGGGGAGGUAACCGUUUUUGCGAAUAUCCUGGUCAGAGCAUCGGCAGGUCUUUGUAACGGUAUUGUUGCCGAUGUACGACCAAGAAAGAUGCCCGUUUAGGAAGUUGGGGAUUUCGAGGAAUCUGCGGAGGAUUAGGAUCAGAGUUGUCCAGAUUGAGGUUGUCGGUUACCAGAUUAGGAGCAUUAAUUGCGGAGAAGGCAUCAUUACUGCAGAGAAUUUCGGAGCAUUAAUAGUUUUAUACUCCGAAACUGGGGGGCAUGUGUUGACACCAUUUUUGAGCACGUGUCCAGGAUGGCAGGAUAGGGCGGCAGUACGAUGCGGGUUGCUGAUGAGGAUGGUUGCCGAUGAGGGAGAGGUUGAAUGUGACUAAGUCCACAGGCAGUAAUAUGGUGCCGAUGACUGGAUAAAAAGGUCUGCCGAUGAUUAUGGCAAGGGGAUUGCCGAUGACGCGAAGGAGGAGUCCGGAAGCUGCCAGUUGUCAUGUGGAGGAGUUUCGGUUUGUCACGAAGGAUAGUUUUAUUAUUUCCUUAGUUAUUUGCAUCGUUUUGUAUACGGAUUCCGUGUAAUUUGGAAUUCGAAUUCUAAUCGUGUCUGGUCGUAGCUCUUUGAGCAGGGUAUAAAUAUAAACCCUAGGACCUUGUAAUCAAAGAAAAAAAAGAAAUCAAUCAAACACACGUUUUUACUCAUAUUCCAGCAUCUACUUUUCGACGACUUCGUCAUACUUUUUUUUCCAUUUAUUACGAGUUCUUAGGAAUUCGUCGACUUAAGCUCGGCGUGUUCUCGAGUUCCGCGUGAGUACCUCUUAGCCGUGACAUCCGGGCGCAUCGCUGUUGUCAGGACUAAAGUAUUCGAGUUAUCACCUUUGCCGAUAGCAAGGUCAAAUCGGCUGGCACGCCUUAACGUUUGAAUCGGGUAUUAGCCCUUUGUGUUUGCAGAUCAGUUUUGCAUCAACAUUUACUUUCCUUAAAUUGCUUGUUAGUUAAUCAUGCUAUCUUGAAAAAAAUAAAAAAUGUUAAAAAUAGUAAGCCCUAUGUGAGUAUGCUCGUGGCAUAAAACCCAUAAGUACAUUCACUGUGGUGGUGUAAAAAUAAAAUAAAUAUAUUCCUGUCCUAUAAAAAUGAAAGUAUAAAAAUAAAUUUAUGAUCCUACCAAAGAGAGUAACAUUUAUUAAGGAGGCUCAACAUGAUAAAGGCUAGAUAUUUAUGCUAACACUUAACUAGUUCCACAAAGCUUUGUUGUCUACUUGAGCUCCACAGAAUUCAAGGAUCAAAGAAGACUAGCAGACGGAGGACAUCCUAAUCGCUGUGAGGGUGCUGCCGACAUUCAAAUACACCUCCAUCACCUGCUAGCUACAGCAGAAGAAAUUAUGUCAAAAUCCAGCUUGGGGGAUAGCACCCCCAUUUAUCCAGCUAAGUGUUUCUACUCGCAUUUAUACUUUACUCAAAUAAUAAAAAGAUGGAUAAUCAUAAAAACCCAAAUAAAGAUUUUAUGCUUAUAUAUAUCUAUGCUUAGUUUGCUAAAUAAAUAAAUAAAUAAAUAAAGUUUGCUAUGAACCCUCAUGAUAAGCUCUCACAUAGGAAUGAUGAAUAGUUGCUCUGCCACGACUAGUUCUCAAAAUUGAAAUCUCUCUCAAGUUUAGGCAUGACUGUUAUGAAUUAAGAUUUGCUCUAAACCUGAACUUGUGGGAAGAGUAUUUGAUCUAAAGUCUAAGUCGUUAACGGAUAUGAUAUGGGAAGGUUGAGCUGCUGUUUAUCUGUUUCUAGAGAUGCUAGAAUUCUGAAGAAUUUUAUCUUUGAAAAUCUUUAAAAUAUUGCAUGAUGAGUUCCUGUAUGAUGAGAGUUUAAAAUCCUACCAUAGCCACAUAUACAUGCUUAUGAGACUAUGAACCAUACAUUUACUUUUUACUGCUUAUGAGCAUUGAGUGUGGUCAAGCUAUGUAGACCCUUAGGAGCUUGUCAUGUGGUUAUAAUCAAGAUUCACUUGCACGUCCACUCAUACAUGCUGCUUCUACUCCGGAAGUAUGCAUCCACAUACAUCCACUCAUUUCCAUCUCCACAUUCACCCAAAAUUAUUCUACUCCUAUCCGAGAGAGAAUAGCCAAAAACAUUAUCCCAUUCCUGUUUUUCCCUGUGAAAUAAAUGCUCGAGCUAUUUUGGUUACUACCACUUGCUACAUUAUUCUAGGAGGGUGAGUGCUCUGAAAAAAAGAAAAAAUACAAGGAAAUAAAAAGGGGCAAGUGCCCAGAACCUCAAGAAAAUAAAAAGUGAGACGAGAGGUAAAAAUGGACAAGUGUCCGACAGUAGAAUUAGGGGUACAAGAUACCCACCUGAGAGAAAAGAAAAAGAAAAUAUAGAGCAUCUCAUUCCACUCAAAAAGCUUCAAAGUGCAAGAAAGGUAUGUAUCCCCUCAAAAGAGCAAAAGUAGAAUUAGACUUUCACCAAUGUUUUCACCAUCAUCACCAUACACCAUUCAUUCGCCACACAUGCACAUCUUGAUUUGACUUAUUGACUCGUUUCUCUGGAUCCAUGGUUUGACUAUGCAAUAAAUGUCUUGUAAGUAUGUAUUAGCUGUCUCCCACCUAUGAGCUCCAAAUAUCAAACCUUAUUAGAGUAGGGUGAGAGAGAAGGCAAUAUCACUAUGCCUCAUACCAUAAAUACUACAUACUUUGAGAGAAGGCGUAUAUUAUCAUUGCCUUGGUAAGGAUCCAGAAAUACCACAAAAGAGAGACUAGAGAGAGUCAUACAAGGAAUCUCUGAGUUUUAUUUAAAAAUCUGCAAAAAAAAACUCCAGAGCUAUAGUUGAUCAAAGAACAAGAGACAUGGUGCUUGACUUGAUCCUCUAUCUUUUAACUGCUCAAGACACAAGUGACUGUUGCAAGCCCCAUGGUGGAAGGUAAUAUGAGUAAGUUCAAAUCUUAACAGUUUACCUUAACCUAGAGAUGAGAUCUUGUUUGAACGCAUGAGUACCUUUAAGGCAUAAAACCACUGCAAAAACUCUUGAGUCCAUCCUUGCUCAGGGACGAGCAAGAGGUAAGCUUGGGGGAGUUGUUGACGGUCCUUAAGUACCAAAUAUAAUCAGCAAAUAAACAAAGAAAAAGAUCCAAAUACAACCAACAUCUAAACUUAGGGUUUUAUCUCACAGAAUUCCAUGAGUUUUGGUGUUUGUCUAUUUCUGCAGGGGGUUAUCAGGAAAUAUGGAGAGAAGGCCCACAUGUCGGGUUUACAUAGAGAUAUUAACAUGCCGUGCAAUUUUCUAUCAUCUAGAAUACUCCAGAAGCCACGGGAACAAAGCGGAAGCUGAGAGGGCUCAGGGACAGGGCGCCCGCCCAAGUCCUUAGGGCGGCCGCCCACCUAUUUCAGCCAAUCACGCUCAAUCUCGUGGAUUAUGCUCCACCGACCUAAAGGAUCAAGAAUAACCGUUCAAUCAAUGUCGGUUUGAUCCGACGACCCAGGUUCACUUGAGGGGAUUAUAUAACCAGACCCCCUGGCCCCUGGAUGAGGCACCCCUUGAUCAUUAUUCAUUAUUCAUAGAUAGAGCAAAAGCUAGGGCUUAGAGAUGAGAGCUCUCCUCUCUUCUCUAAACUAGAGUAGAUCUAGAUAGUAGCGAGAUGGAGAGUGAAGGAGGAUUAGAGGAGAGGCUGGCAUGUCGGUUCUUCCUCCGGUUGUACUUUGUCAUGAUCAAGCUCUAAUCAAGCUUGCUCAUGGGAUGACUCUGGUAAUCUACUUCUAAUUCAUUAUGCAAUUACUAAUCAUGUAUGUUCUGGUUCACAACUCUUUUGAGUACUUCUAUUCUAUAGGACCCUAUAGGUUAGAGUUGUAGUAUAGGUGUAAGCGUGGUGCUUAGACCUAGAUUACUUGUGGAUAUCCCCUGCCUAGCCAGAUCGUGUGGUAGGCCGCGUAUGUGACAGCUAUGUUGGUCCUCUGUAGUCCACCUCUCGUUAGCAGGACGGGUAGGGUUUAUCGGCCUAAGGAUAAGCAUCCUUUGUGGUGUACUCUUAUCACGUGGUUUGUCCUAGACAUAGACAUACCCCUUUGAAGUAGAGAAACCAUAGUUAUCCUCUCUAUUCUGCUACGAUCGCCCAUAUACUAGAAUUGCUCUAUUCUCUAUUCCCAUAUUAUCACUCACUGUUAUCUUACCUUUAAUAUUAUUCUUAUUUGAUUCUACCAUCUUUCCUAUUUACUCAUCUUGGUUAAGUUAGAGCGUAGAUCAGUUCUCCCGUUUCCCUGUGGAUACGAUAAAACCUUUAACCAGGUAAAAGCUUCAACGGUAUCCAUGCGCUUGCGGAUUAUCUGUGUGCGUAUAAAUACCUUAGUACACUCUAGUGCCAUGCUGGGAUGACAACCUAGUAUUCAAGUGGUGUUAGCAAGUGUCAACAGAGGCUAAAAGUUUAAUGGGAGAAAUCCAUGAAGGAGUAUGUGGAGCACAUCAGUCGGCUUUUAAGAUGAAGUGGAUGAUUAGGAGGAAUGGGUAUUAUUGGCCAACCAUACUUGAAGAUUGCUUUAAAUAUUUCAAGGGGUGUCAAGGAUGUCAGAAGUUUGGCAAUAUUCAAAGGGCACCCGCAUCGGCCAUGAAUCCCAUUAUUAAACCUUGGCCGUUCUGGGGAUGGGCUAUUGAUCUAAUCGGCCAAAUUUACCCACCAUCAAGCAAAGGACAUAAAUUCAUCUUGGUUGCCACCGAUUAUUUCACCAAGUGGGUUGAAGCUAUUCCUUUGAAGAAAGUCACAUCGGCCAAUAUGAUUGAUUUUGUGAAAGAACAUAUUAUUUACUGAUUUGGAAUUCCUCAAACAAUUACUACCGAUUAGGGUACGAUGUUUACAUCAGGGGAGUUUGAUGAGUUUGCAAUUGGUAUGGGAAUUAAAGUAUUAAAUUCUUCUCCUUAUUAUGCUCAAGCUAAUGGGCAGGCCGAAGCAUCUAACAAAGGAAUUAUCAGACUUAUUAAACGGAAGAUUGAAGAAAAUCCUAGGAGGUGGCAUACGUUGUUAAAUGAAGCUUUGUGGUCAUAUCGGAUGACUUGUCAUGGGUCGACCAAAGUUUCACCUUAUCAAUUGGUGUACGGGCAUGAUGCAGUGCUACCCUAGGAAAUUAAAACUGGAUCUAGGCGGCUAUCUUUUCAAGACCAAUUAACUGCCGAUGACUAUGCUACUUUGAUAAAAGAUGAGUUGGAUGAUUUAGCAGGGCAUCGGCUAAGGACUUUGAUAAGUAUAGAAGAAAAUAAGAAAAGAGUUGCCAGAUGGUAUGAUAAGAAAGUAAAGGCUAAGGAGUUUGCCGAUGGAGACUUAGUAUGGAAACUAAUCUUACCAAUCGGGACUAAAAGUUCAAAAUUUGGGAAGUGGUCUCCCAAUUGGGAGGGUCCUUAUCGGAUAAAUCGAUCUGCUCCUGGCAAUGCUUAUAUUUUAGAAACUCUCGAAGGAGUUGAAUUUCCCAAGGCAUUGAAUGGAAAAUAUUUAAAGAGAUAUUAUCCCAGCAUAUGGCUUGAUGCAUGAAAGUUCAAGUGCCGAUAACAUUCCUAUCGGCUGGAUUAAAGUGUAUCUGGGGCCGGACCUAAUGUUUUAAAAGGAUGCCGAUAACAGUCCUAUCGGCUAAACCAAAAUGAUCAGAAGUGAUUUAAAAGAAAGAAGCAAAAUAUGUCGCCGAUGAAGAGUUCACAUGUUUAACAGAGCCUGGAUCGUUGAUAUGGCGCGUAGACGGAUCUGAUAGGCUUCCUCUAUCUCCUUCAUGUCUUCAUCGACAGAGCCCUCCACUAGCCUCAGUUUCUUUUUCAUCUGUAGUGCCUUGCGAGCCUGGAUGUUUCGCUCCACUUCAAGAGUUUUGGUUGCUUCAGGCAGCUGGCUUUCUUCCUGUUGAGUUUGGGAUAGAGCUUCUUCUACCUGUUUGAGUUCUGCCAAUAGGGCUUCUCUCUUUGCCGAUAGAUCAGAGAUCUUUUGCUUCAGCACGUCUCCUGAGGAUUUCAAGAUGCCGAAGCUCUUGUGCUUUUCAUCGGCAAGGAGCUUUACUUUCAUCAUCUCUUCUGAGAGCUGGGCGUGAUUAGUUCUAUCGGCAAGGUGCUGAGCGGCCUUUUGAUACUGAAGCUGCCGACUCUCUAAGUGAGCAGCCUUGAAGAGGAUCUCCUCGGCAUCGACAGGAAUUUGGCCUCUAAGAGCCUUGAACAGGACCUUGGAUGGAUCAGAGUCAUCAACCAAUUGGGCUGUAUCUUGAUGAAGGAGGGCUGACAAAUCUUCCAACUUUGCUCUAAUCUGUGCCGAUGAGAUUCAAACCGCUCGAGAAGAACUUGCUUCCUCGCCUUCAUCCUCAGAGAUGUCGAUGGCAAAGGAGAACAAGCUGUCAGGAGAGUCCUGUUCCUGAAAAGGAAGACAAAAUAAGUUAUUCUAUGAUCAAGUACUGAUAACAAUAAAAAUAGAAAUUGGGUAACUUACAUAUUUCAGGGCUAUUUCUUGCCUCUGACUAGAUGAGGCCGAUGGAACCACAGGCUGGUCGGCUGGAGUUUCCGAUGAAACUAUGUCAGCUGAAAGAUUCACAGAAGUGAUUAAUAAAGUGGGAAAAUAGGUUCAUUGGCAAUAAAUGGAAAGUAUGUUACCUUGAGGGGGUGCAGUACUUGUCUGAAUCGAGGAGACUACCGAUGCUAUGAUUAGGCUUGCUGGAUCGGCGGUCUGCUCGUGUACAUCAGCCGAUGUUUCUUCUGGCUGAGCUUCCUCUGGUUGGAGUUCUUCCACUUGGGGUUCUUCUUGUGGCUGAGGAGGAGAUGGUACCUGCUGUGUCUGGGCUUCUGGAGAAGAAGGGGAUGAUUCUACUGGGAUCGGAGACCUUGGGAGAGGAGGAGGCGUUGCUGUUCUCUGGCGCUUCGCUUGUAAUCUGGUACUCUUGGAACCUUUUCUCUUCGGUUGACUGGACUGGGGGGCAUCGGCAGUUGUACUUCUGGUCUUUGCCGAUGUACCAGUGUGCUCAUACAACAAUGAGAAGUUUAUGAGUACAAGUGUAAUAGGUAUAAGAAUGGAAUCGGUAUGAGUAAAAGAAUUCGAAAAUAUACCUUGAAGGCUUGUGCUAAGGUAGAGGCAGCUACUGAUGGGGAUGUCUUCGUUCGCUUGGUGGUAACUUUCUUGAGACGCAUACCCCGAUGCAUUAUAGCAGCCAAGGUUGGAGCGUUGUUGCCGAUCAAAGAGAUCGGGCCCGAUGGAAGGAGCUCAAUUGGCUUACCACUCCUGCUCACCAAUGGUGGUGUGUCAUCAACCUGUAUAUAACAAGGAAAGUAAGUUACUGAUGGAAAGUGAAAGUGAAUGGAUUGAAGCAUCGGUUUAAAGUACUUACAGUAUUAUCAGGGACUUUGUACUUGGGGUCGAUCAUGCCACGGUAUGUGAGAGCCGAUCUGCAGAACAGGUGUUCUUUCCAUUCUUCCCACCACUGUUUGUAUGCCUGAGUGAUGAAGAGAGCCGGGAUCCAAGCUGAUAGAUCGACAUCUGUAUCAGCGUUUGGUGGAAGUUGGGAUACCUUGAUCCAUUCCAGAUUGUUGGUGAUGAUCUCCCUCGGCUUUAUCACAUCGGCGUAGCAGAGUGCAAUCGGCAGUUGGCCGAAAGCCAGUUCGCGAGCUAGUGCCGAUGGGUUAUAAAACUCAUAGGUUAGAUUGGAGGCUUUCCCACUACCAAAGAAGUUCACUGGUAUGGCUCUUGGGGUGAUAAUUGCCAUCAUCACAUCAAGGUCCUUGUUGAGAGCAUCGUUGAAGGGGUGGAAAGUCAAGCGAAAUCUGGUAUCUGGGUCUUCAUAAGGCAUCCAUGCCCGUUGUUCUCUGGUCAGGCCCUCAUACAGAGUUUGGAAGAAUCGGCUAACCUGGUCUGCGUUACCACCUGUGCCAGGCAAAACUAUGGCAGCUUUGAUAAAGUUUAGAGGGGAACGAGUUGCCGAUUCUUCUUCAUCCAGUUUAUAAUCCUCGGCUAUAUCCCUGGGGAUGCGCUGUGCAAAGAGGUCGAACUCAAGGCGCUUGUGCAUGUGGAGACUAAGCCACAUAUUGAUGAACCACCAGGGACCCCCUAAGUUGCCGAUGGGCUGACCAAGCAGUAGUUUCUUGGCUACCUUGUGGAGGAGGUGAUAAGCAGAGCCAAGUAGGUAUCGGCCGAGAGGAAAUCGGCCCCCAUUGGUUAAUCUUUCUGCUGCCGACAAGUAAACAGAAGUUGGUCCUGCCGAUCGGCCAUAGAAUACAAAUUUAUCUAGCCACAUGUUCAGAAAAGUGGUCUGUUCCUUCGCAUUGACAGGACCUGUUCUUCGGUACUUCUGAACGUACCCUGACCAACCGCCGAUAGCACGAGUUUCCACCUUAGCACUGGGUUUGGUGUCGAACAGGUGGGUGUUAUCGGUAGUGGAUAUAUCUAAGCCGGUGAGGAUAAGUUCGUCGGCAAGUGUAGGAGAAGCAGGGCCAUGGCCAAACACAAAAGCAUUGAGUGUGUCUGACCAAAAGUAUGAGGCAGCUAUCAGUAGUGACUCAUUUCUCUCCAUAUCGGCAAGAGACAAUCUAGUGAACUGAUCUAAUUUCGUUCACUCCAUUGGACCUCAUUUGAGUUACUGACUCUCAGGAACCAAUCCUUCCAUCCCUUGGUAGGACUGGGCCAGGAACGGAAGGCAUCUUUCCAUAUAUCUAGAGAAAAAUUCUCGGCGCUAAAGGGGAUUCUGUUUGUCUUUGCGUUUAUAAGAUCAGUGGGAUCUAAGUUUCCUAGUGGACCAAGGCAUUGGAGAUGGGGUUGAUCGGUAGGGAUUGCGAUCUUGUCGGCCAAAUUCUAAAGAUUUUAAGGAUAAAAGAAAAAGCAAAAAGGAAAAAGGGAAUAUUCAGUAAAAGGAAUUGCGGAUGGACAGAAGUACAGCAAGAGUACGAAAAAAGAAGGGGGGUAAGCUAACCUCAGGGACGACGAAGUUGACGGCCAUUGCUCCGCGAGGAAGAAGAUCGAAAACUUGGGGGUUGUUGGAGGAAGCUCUUGCUGGAGUUCUUGGAGUUCUCGAACAGUGCUGCUGUUGGGUAUUCUUAACAUCAUUACCAAAAGUAGACUAAGUUCUCUAAAUCUAGUAAUGGUGCCAAAAAUGCCAAACCUAUCCCUCACACCACUUAAGCCAAGUUGUCAUCCCCAGCAUGAUAUAAGAGACGCGGUAUUGAAAUAUGCAAUUGCUCUUCUAAAUAAAUAAUGAAUGGGAUCUGCAAGCGCACAGAUUAAUACCGAUGCAGCAUUUUAACCGGGAAGUAUUCCAGGUAUCGUUAUUUAUAUUUUUACCACUGGGAAGGAAUUAGCAAUCAACAAUAUCGAUUACAGAAUAGAAUAUGAGAUUGAGCAUCUAUCAUUGCAUGUAUAAUUGAGAACAUUAUAUCUAACUCUUCAUACAGGGAUAAGUGUCACAUAAAAGAUAUAUGAAAUAAUAAUAGUGACAAGGAUAACUAAUCUGAUCUAGCCACAUAAUAAAUAUGAUAAGCACCUCAAUUAGAUACUCUAGAAAGUCAUUAGCAUGGUAUUAGAACGAACUACAAGAAUAUUCCCUAAGUUAUUCUCAACUAUAUAGUCUAGCAUAUCAUAGUUAGUGCAAGCAUACUUAGCAAUCAUUGCGAGACAAGACUACGCCCAUGCAUAGUGAUAUUAGCAAGGAAUAUGAGAAACAUAGCAAUCACUCCCCUGUAAUAAUGUUGCUCUGCCAGCCCAAUACACGAGAGGGGGACUAUAUAAGAAUCAAUGAAGCUAUCACUAUCACGAACCACCCCACGAUCUGGCAUAUUGGGUACAAUCGCAGAUAAAUACGGUAUAAGCACCACGCCUACACAAUAUCUAUCAUUUACCCAUGGAUCCGAUGGAUAAACGCUAUACGAUCCUAAGCAUGUAUAUAGAUCCAAUCUAACUAAGCCAAGUACAUAACUAUGAUAAACUAAGAACAAUAUAAUCUUGAAUAUAAGCUAGUAGAGCAAAGUCAUAAGCAAUAUAUUGAAAUAGAACAAAGUCAUAUUCAUAAUAUUGAAGAACAAAGAUAAUUAGAAAGCAAUUAGAAGCACAAUUAGAGAAUUACCAAGAAUCCUCCUGACAGAUCCGGAAACCAAUCGAAGAUUGACUCCUUCUAGUUCUAAUCCUAUGUAGCUAUGCUACUCUAGAUAUCUAAUUGAUGUGGUGGCUCUAAUCUUGAUCAGAGGCUUCUUCUCCCUUGAAGAACAAUGAAUUAGGGUUGAGAGGCUCUCCCCUCCAGGGGCCAGGGGGUCUGGUUUUAUAGUCCCUUCAAGUGAAUAUGGGACGUUGGAUCUAACCGACAUAGAUUGUAUGGUUUAGAUUCAUCCUUUAGGUCGGUGGAAAUCUCCUGCAAAGCAGAGUCCUGAUUGGACUCAGAGGCAGGGCGGGUGCCCUGACCAACUGGGCGGGCGCCCAGGGUCUGGCCCCGUUUCGCCUCCUCUUCGGUCUCGUGGCUUCUGGAGUCUUCUAGAUGUAAGAUAAUUGCGCGGCACGUUAAUAUCUUUACUUAAUCCCGACGUGCGGGCCUUUCUUCCGUAUUUCCUGAUAACUCCCUGCAGAAAUACACAAACACCAAAACUCGUGGAAUUUUGUCAGAUAAAACCCUAAGUCUAGAUGUUGAUUUCAUUUGGAUCCUUUUCUUUAUUUAUUUGAUAAUUAAAUUUGAUACUUAAGGACCGUCAACAGCUGCCGCCAGGAAAGCAGAGUUUGGGCUGUAGAAUGAUAAGAUGGAGAAGGAGUACCCGAGAAGGAAGUAUUUAUAGGACAAAAUGGACAGGGGCAAAUUUGACUUAUCUCUUUACCGCAUCUGUGAAAUCCGAGGGUGUUCAGGUAGAUAUGGUAACUGUUUGCGCGGUAAUCAAGGGAUUGUACAGGUGAUUUGAUAGCAAGCGCUCACGAUUUUGGAGAUAUUUCACUGUACGGGAUCUCUUGGUCGGUCCAUCGGCAGUUCCCUCUAACGGUAAUAUUGCCGAUGGGCGCAUAAAGUGGAGAGAUCCGGUUUGGAAGGUUGAGGAAUUCGAGGAAUCUGCAGGAGAAUCGGGCCAAGGUUGUUCAGAUUUAAUGGUCGGUUACCAAAUUGGGAGAAUUAAUUACGGAAAGGCAUCAUUACUAUAGAGAAUUUUGGAGCAUUAAUGAUUUUAUACUCUGAAGUUGGGGGGCAUGUGUUGACACCGUUUUUGGACCACGUACCUAGGGACCAGUAAAGUAUAGAUCGUCAGGUGGAGCAACGGUAACUAGUCUGCAGAAGAGUUGUCGAUGGGGAUAGUUGCUGAUGAAGAGACGAUUGAAUGUGACUAAGUCCAGAGGUGGUGACGUGUUCUUACCGAUGAUCAAUAUCAGUGUUUGGCGAUGGCCAUAACAGGAAGUCUGCCGAUGACUCUGAAGGAAAGUGUGAAGAUUGCCGAUUGAUCUGUGGCGGUGUCCUGGUCGGUUGCAAGGGGGUAGUUUUAUAUUUUCCUUAGUUAUUUAAUACAUAUUCUGUUUAAUUUGGAAUUCGAGUCCUAGUCGUGUCUGAUUGUAGCUCUUUGAGCAGGAUAUAAAUGUAGACCCUAGAGCCUUGUAAUGAGAAUCUAUCAAUCAAUCAAACACAAGUUUUUACUCAUAUUCUAGCAUCUACUUUUUCGACGACUUCGUCAUAUUUUUCCUUUUUACUACGAGUUCUUAGGAAUUCGUCGACUUAAUCUCGGCGUAUUCUCGAGUUCCGCGUGAAUACCUCUUGGCUGUAACAUCCGGGCGCAUCGCUGUUGUCGGGACUAAAGUAUUCGAGUUAUCACCUUUGCCGAUAGUAAGGUCAAAUCGGCUGGCACGCCUUAACGUUUGAAUCGGGUAUUAGCCCAAAGUGUUUGCAGAUCCGCUUUUGCAUCAACAAAUAUACUACAAAUAUAUACUAAAAAAUACUACUACAAAUAAUAUACUAAAAAAAUAAUACUACAUAAUAAUACAAGAAUAAUAUUAAUAUAUUACAAAAAUAUACUAGCACAAUAUAAUUUAUAAUAACAGGUCAACACUACACUUAUACUAAUAUACUAAUUAACUAAUAUAUAUAUAUAUAUAAUAUACUAAAAACUAAUAUACAUUCAUUCUGCAGAUUAUAUAUAUAUUAUACUAAAAACUAAUAUACAUUCAUUCAUUCUACAGAUUAUAUAUAUAUUAUACUAAAAACUAAUAUACAUUCGUUCAUCAUUUUGCAGGUUAUAUAUAUAAACUGUUGGAGAUCGAUUUAGUAUACGUAGAGGAUGUAGACGAUGGCUGGCCGGAGUUCGAUCGGUGGAGAUGGUGGCGGCCGGCGGUGGAGACGGUGCGGCGGCGGCGGCGCUGGAGAUGGUGGCCACGGCAGCGGCGCUGGUGGCCGGAGUUGGCCGCGGCGGCGAUGGAGACGGCGACGCUGGAGAACGGCGAGGUCGCGCGCGGGCAGAUGAACGGGCGGCGGCGCUGGAGACGAUGAACUCGACGAAGACGAAGAUGAACUGCCCUUUAGCACCGGUUCCAGCCACGGACCGGUGCUAAAGGGUCCUAGGCAGGCUCAGGCGGGGUCCUGAAAAUUUUGAGGACCCUUUAGCACCGGUUCCCACUAUGGGCCGGUGCUAAAGGCCCUGUUUUUUACUUUAGGGUUUUUCAAUUGUUUAUCUAUACAGUUUAUAUUAUAAAUUGUAUAGUAAACUAAAUAUUUUGCAUAAUAUUUUUUAAACUUUGACAUAUAUUGUAAUUUUUUUAUUGUACACAUGAAAAUUUUUAACCUUAAAUAUCUUACUAUAUUUUUAUAAUUUGCAAUGAUUUUGUAAGAAAUGUUUAAUAUUUUGUUAAUGCAAAAAUAUAUUAUUCCAAUAAAUUUAAAAAACUAUAUCCAAUCAACUGGAAAUCUAUUUUCACACCAUAUUGACGUUAAACUUUUUAUUUUUGUUAUUUAUUACUCAGAAUGCUAGUAGGGUAUAGUUUUCAUCAAAUAAAAAAUCUGUUUAUAAUAUAAAAUAUAUAUCUUGAUGAACACUCCCUUUGACCGAACCCUAGAUUGUCCCAAAUGAAAAAGUCAUGAAUACAAAGUUUGUUACACUCAUCAAGUUCUACAGUUUGUCUAAUGGUCAACUUUUCUUUUAGAAAAGUUUGAACCACUGAAUUUUAAAUUUUCAGAGAAUUCAUAGCCACGCAGCGGUUUCGAAACCCUAGAUGGUCUCGAAUGGAAAAGUCUUGAAUACCAAUAUUGUUCCACUCAUCAAAAUCUACAUUUCAUUUAUAGACCAUUUUUGCAUUUGACAAAGUUUAGGGAAGGUGUAGUUGAAAAUCCACAAUUGACACAUAUAGUUUCAUAUAGUUUGUAUGAGAUUCAAGAAUUGGUGGGUAUUGUUAACUUAAACUUUCUCAAAUGGAAAAGUUGUGUAUAUAAAAAGUUUAGAGCUUGAUGAUAUCUAACAACUUGGUAUUCAAAAUUUUUUUAUUUUAAGUAAUUUAGUUUGUCAUUUGACCAAGUUUGACCAAAACCCAUCUUGGAUUUUAUAGAAAUGUGAUUAGGAUUGGCUCAAAAUUAUCCAAAUGGAAAAAUGGACAAAAUAUAAAAUGUAGAUCUUGAUGAUCUCUAACAACUUUGUAUUCAAAAUUGUUUCAUUUGAAGUCAUCAAAUGGGCCAUUUGAUCAAGUUUGACCAAAGUCAAAACAUUGGUUUUCAAAAAACACCCUUUGACUGAACCCUAGGUUGUCCCAAAUGGAAAAGUCAUGAAUACAAAGUUUGUUACACUCAUCAAGUUCUACAUUUUGUCUAAUGGUCAACUUUUCUUUUGGAAAAGUUUGAACCACUGAAUUUUAAAUUUUCAGAGAAUUCAUAGCCACGCAGCGGUUUCGGAACCCUAGAUGGUCUCCAAUGGAAAAGUCAUGAAUACAAAUAUUGUUCCACUCAUCAAAAUCUACAUUUCAUAUAUAGAUCAUUUUUGCAUUUGACAAAGUUUUGGGAAGGUGUAGUUGAAAAUCCACAAUUGACACAUAUAAUUUCAUAUAGUUUGUGUGAGAUUCAAGAAUUGGUGGGUAUUGUUAACUUAAACUUUAUCAAAUGGAAAAGUUGUGUAUAUAAAAAGUUUAGAUCUUGAUGAUAUCUAACAACUUGGUAUUCAAAAGUUUUUCAUUUUAAGUAAUUUAGUUUGUCAUUUAACCAAGUUUGACCAAAACCCGGCUUGGAUUUUAUAGAAAUGUGAUUAGGAUUGGCUCAAAAUUAUCCAAAUGGAAAAAUGGACAAAAUAUAAAAUGUAGAUCUUGAUGGUCUCUAACAAUUGGAAAAGUCAUGAAUACAAAGUCAUGAAUACAAUUUUUGUUACACACAUCAAAAUUCACAAUUCUCAAAUAUAGUUUCAUACAAAGUCAAGUCGACACAACAGUGAACUUCUUCUUGACGUAUGACCCUUGGUUAUGAUCCUGCCGUAACCAUGGAGUAUCCUCAUUGUUUAACAGAAUGCUUGGGUCUUUGUUGACUAUGAAGGGCGGAAUUCGAUCAUCCCUUUCGUAAUCACCUGACAUGUCUGACUUGUCCUCAAUUCCGACAAUGUUUCUUUUCCCAGAAAGGACAAUGUGGUGCUUUGGCUCAUUGAUGAUUGAGUGGUCAUCAUUUUUUCCUCUCUUUGGUUUCGUAAACAUAUCUUUGACAUAGAACACCUGACUCACGUCUGCAGCAAGGACGAAUGGUUCGUCUUUGAACCCACUAUUGUUAAGGUCCACGAUUGUCAUCCCAUACUCCUUGUCGACUGUUACCCCACCUCCGGUCAUCUCCACCCAUUGGCACCAGAACAAAGGAACUUUAAAAUUAGCUGAAUAGACUAGUUCCCAUAUGUCUUCUAUGCGUCCAUAAUAUGUUUGUCUGUUCCCAUUUGGAUCCAUGGCAUCCACGCGUACACCACUAUUUUGGUUGGUGCUCCUUUUAUCUUGGCCAACUGUGUAAAAUGUGUUACCAUUUAUCUCGUACCCUUUGUACGUGAGGACAUGCCAUGAUGGUUGCCUGGCCAACAAAUAAAGCUGCUCAUCAAUGUUUUCAUCACCUUGACAUUUUUUGUGCAACCAAUCAUCAAAAGUUUCCAUGUGCUGACGCAUUAUCCAAGCUUCAUUCUUCCCGGGCCACUUGGACCGUAGGAAAUCUUUGUGUACCUCAACAUAUGGUUCCACCAAUGAGGAGUUCUGGAGAACUGUGUAGUGUGUUUUAUUGAAGUAAUCGUCUCUCGUACCAAUAUAUGUUUUCUUCCCAAGUGUCCCCUUUCCGCUGAGUCUGCCCUCAUGUCGAGAUUCAGGAAUGCCAAUUGGGUCAAGGUCUAGAAUAAAGUCAACACAGAACUCUAUGACCUCCUCUGUUCCGUAGCCCUUGACAAUGCUUCCUUCUGGCCGGGAACGACUAUGGACAUAUUUCUUUAGGACACCCAUGAAUCUCUCGAAGGGGAACAUGUUGUGUAGGAACACAGGACCGAGAAUACGAAUCUCUUUGAUCAGAUGAACUAGGCGGUGUGUCAUGAUAUCGAAGAAGGAUGGAGGGAACACCAACUCAAAGCUGACGAGACAUUGAACGACAUCAUUCUGCAGAGUAGCUAGUUGCUCUGGAUUGAUUGCCUUCUGAGAAAUUGCAUUGAGGAAUGCACAUAGCUUUACGGUGGCUAGACAUACGUGUGGAGGUAAAAUUCCUCUUAAAACCACCGGCAGCAAUUGCGUCAUUAGAACGUGACAGUCAUGGGACUUCAAGUUCAGGAAUUUCUUCUCUGGCACAUUAAUUAUUCCCUUGAUAUUGGAGGAGAAUCCAGAUGGGACCUUGAUACUGCUAAGACAUUCAAACAUGUUUUCCUUCUCUUCUUUGCUCAGAGUGUAGCUAGCAGGGCUUAAGUAAUGACGUCUAUCAUCUGUCUUUUCUGGAUGCAGGUUGUCUCGUUCUUUCAUGCGCUACAAGUCUUGUCGUGCUUCAAGUGAAUCCUUAGACUUCCCGUAGACACCCAUGAAUCCGAGGAAGUUCACACAAAGAUUCUUUGUCAGAUGCAUCACGUCGAUCGCAUUGCGGACCUCUAGGACAUUCCAGUAAGGUAGCUCCCAAAAUAUGGAUUUCUUCUUCCACAUGGGUACGUGUCCCUUAGCAUCCUUGGGAAUAGGUUUGCUACCUCGUCCCUUUCCAAAUACCACUUUUAUAUCCUUGACCAUUUCGAGUACAUCAUCCCCGGUUCGAUUGAGAGGUUUGGUCCGGUGGUCUGCCUUGCCUUUAAAAUGCUUGCCUUUCUUUCGUACUGGGUGGUUCACAGGAAGAAACCAACGGUGGCCAAGGUACACGACCUUUCGACAUUUUUUUCAAAAAUACACAGUCAAGGUCUUCAUAACAAUGUGUGCAUGCAUUAUAUCCCUUGUUUGACUGGCCUGAAAGAUUACUCAGAGCUGCCCAAUCAUUGAUUGUUACAAACAGCAAUUCUCGCAGGUCAAAGUGCUCUUGUCUGUACUCAUUCCACACGUGAACUCCUGGUUUGCUCCAUAAAAGUUGAAGUUCCUCAACUAAUGGCCUUAGGUAAACAUCGAUGUCAUUGCCAGGUUGCUUUGGUCCUUGGAUAAGCACCGACAUCAUAAUAAACUUCCGCUUCAUGCAUAGCCAUGGAGGAAGGUUGUAGAUACAUAGAGUAACUGGCCAAGUGCUGUGACUACUGCUCUGCUCACCGAAAGGAUUCAUACCAUCUGUACUUAAGGCGAACCGCAACUUUCUAGCAUCAUCUGCAAAAUCAGGGAAUUCUCUGUCUAUCGCUCUCCACUGGGAUCCAUCGGCAGGGUGUCUCAGCAUAUUGUCUAUCUUACGGUCUUCUUUAUGCCACCGCAACAACUUUGCAUUGUCCUUAUUUCUGAACAGACAUUUUAAUCAUGGUAUUAUAGGAGCAUACCACAUAACCUUGGCAGGAAUUUUCUUCCUAUGACGUUCUUCACCCUCAACAUCGCCAGGAUCAUCUCGUCUAAUCUUAUACCGUGAUGCCUUACAUACUGGACAUGCAUCCAAAUUCUCGUAUUCCUCGUAGAGGAUGCAGUCAUUAGGACAUGCAUGUAUCUUCUGGAUUUAUAAUCCCAAAGGGUAGACAACCUAUUUUACUACAUACGUAGUGGUGGGCAAUUCGUUGCCUUUCGGAAGCAUCUUUCUUGUGAUCUUCAAUAAGUGCCCAAAUGCCUUGUUAGAUGUACCAUUCUUUGCCUUCCAUUGCAGCAAUUCCAGUAUGGUACCCAGCUUUUUUUGCCCCUCUUCAGCGGUGGGAUAUAGCGAUUUCCUGUGGUCCUCUAGCAUGCGCUCGAACUUGGCUUUCUCUUUAUCACUUUCACAUUCUCUUUGUGCAUCACAGAUGGCAUCACCAAAAGCAUCAUCGCCCCGAUCAUCUUCUGCCACUACCUCUUCUUCAUUAUCUCCCCCCAUUGCAACAUCAUUGAAGCCACCGUACUGAGCAAUAAUGUUGGCAUGGUCCAAUUCUUCUUCUUCUUCUUCUUAUUCUUCUUCUUCUUCUUCUUCACCUUCAUCCAUUAUAAUCCCGCUUUCUCCAUGUUUGGUCCAACAAAUAUAGUUUGGUACGAAACCAGACUUUAAUAAGUGCGAAUGAAGAUUUCUUGAGUUAGAAUAUUCCGUCAAAUUCUUGCACACGGCACAUGGACAGCACAUGAAACCAUCCCUCUUAUUUGUCUCGGCCACACUUAAGAAAUAGUGCACGCCAUUAAUGAACUCUUCGGAGCGCCGAUCGGCAUUAUACAUCCAAUUACGUGUUACUAUCUGCAUUAAAUAUAACAUAUAUAUUAUGAAAACCAUGCACACAUAUAGUUUCUCAUCUUAUUGCACAACAUGUCCAAGAUACAUAGUUGUUUUAUUCAGGAAAGCUUGGCUACAACAAAUACAAUCGCAACUAGCACUAAAAAACCAAAACUAAAAUGCACUUAAGCAACAUAAUUAGUUCGCAUCUGAUCCCAACUAUAAUAGAUAGAUCAUUCGCUUGAUCAACAUCAUUGAAUUCCUUUCGUCGGCUCACUGCCUCACCACCUUCAGCCUCAACCACCUGUGCAAAAGAUUUCUUAAUGUGUUCAAUGUAUUCUUCCUCCCAGUACCAACCUAUACAUCUGCCGGUACCGUCCCAUUGAAAUUAAAAGAGAGAACCAAAAGUUUAAUUAAUAUCAUUUAAAAAAAUAUGCACAUAUAUAAGCAAAUGUCUAGAAAUAACUCACAUUAUGAUCCUGACACUUGUGGAAUAUACGACCCUUGUUUACUCCCUCUUUCGACACUUUGUACUCCAUCACAAUCUUCUACCCACACUUGCCACAAGUAAUGAGAGGGAGUUCCGGCGGGUAUCGCUUUUGAACCCGUUGAGAGACCGAAGACCCGGUCACGGUUGCCAUCUACUAUCCAUACUCAAUUUUUAAACAAUUAUAAAUUCCACUACUAGUAAAUAUGUAUGAUUAAAGAAGAACCUAAUAAUAUCCUUUAUUUGUCUAGUUACUUCAACAAAUCUUCUAAAUUCUACAAUGGACAUUAUGUAGUAAUAAAAAUAAAUCAAGUGAUAUUAACAAACCAAUUAAUUUGAACUAUCCUACUUUCUAGGAUCAUAAAAGAUACUAUAAUUCAUUCUUGCAAACUACAUUAAUACUAGGUCAACCAUGAAAUAUGAUAUAUAUAUAUAUGGAUACUAAUUCAUGUGAAUGAUUCAAAAUAACAAAGUGGAUUUGAGCUAAAAAUAAUGGGAACAUCACAAGCCAAAAACAACAUGAUAAAGACAAGAAAGACAAAAGUUAGUCACCUCCAAACACGAAGAAACGAUGACGGAGUCGAAGAAGAUCAACGAUGGGCGUCGGAGAUGAAGAACAAAUGAAGAACAAGGAAGAAGAAGCUCCAAGAACAACAAUGGUGAAUGGUGCUCUCGGUUUCAAAUGGGCAGAGAGGAGGAGGGAUCCAGCCUAUAAACCGGACCUUUAGCACCAGUUCAGGGCAAAAACCGGUGCUAAAGGGUCACUCUUUAGCACCGGUUUGUGUUACAAACCGGUGCUAAAGGCUUUGCCAUGGCCCGUGGCGCUGGCCGGUCCUAAAGGGGACCCUUUAGCACCGGUUUGUAACACGAACCGAUGCUAAAGGGUCCCUGCCCCGUAGCCGUUGGGCAGGACCAUUUAGCAUCGGUUCGUGUUACAAACCGGUGCUAAAGGUGUCUUUAACCCCCGGCCGUAAAAAGGCUGAGAUUUUUGGCCAUUUUGGCAUCGACCAAUGCCUCAUACUGUAGUAGUGUAACUUCACUAUAGUGUAAUUCUCCGGCACCUCACCUAUGCCACGUCAUCGUCUGUUACUAUUCAUGAGGUGGGAAAAAAAGCAGCCCCUCGUCUUGGCAAAAAAAAGAGUAAAGUCCACCACCGGUCCGUAAACUUGUACUGUUAUGUUGUCCUGGUCCCUAAACUCGCAAAUUGACGGUUUAGGUCCUUAAACUUGUUCUGCUAUGUCAUCUCGGUUCCUAAACUUAGAAAUCACUCGUUUAAGUCCUCAAAAUUAUUCAAUUGUGUCAUCCUGGUCCCUCAACUUAGUUUUGAGUCUGAGUCAAAACAAACUAAAAACUCUAUAUAAAACAUAAUUCAAAACUUAUUCAUAAAACUUGAAUUAAGACAAACUUUAUACCAAAGUCAUAGCCGUCAACAUGAUCUAAAACUUUGUAGUUGAAAAGUUUUUUAUUUGAAGUCGUUUAGUGUCACAAAAUUUAAUUUUAAACUUUAAAUUUUAAAAUCUAUAAACUAACAAAAAAACAUUUUGGGACCCUAAAUGAUUUUUUUUUCAAAAAAUUUUCAACUAUAAAGUUGUAGAUCAUGUUGUUGGCUACAAUUUUGAUAUAAAGUUUAUCUUUAUUUGAGUUCAUACGAAAAAGUUAUGAGUUAUUUUCAAUAUAGAGUUUUUUGAUUCGCCUUGUUUUGAUUCAGAUGAGACUUAAAAACAAAUUUAGGGACCGAGAUGACACUGCUGAAUAAGUUUGAGGACCUGUAUGGGAGAUUUUUAAGUUUAGGGACAAGGAUGACACAGUCAAACAAGUUUAGGUGCCUAAAUGGUCAUUCUGCGAGUUUAGGGAUCUGGAUAACAUACCCAAACAAGUUUAGGGACCGGUGAUAGACUUUACUCAAAAAAAUACUACUCCAAUCUUGGACCAGAGAGAGAUGGUUGGAUGCCAGCCACAAGUCGCCAUGCCUAACAUUAGGCUCGCCACGUUCACUUUGAUAGUUGUUUGGUUAAGCACAUAGUUAUGACUCGCCAUAGCCACAAAAUCAUCUCGCCAUAGUUUUCUUCAACCAGAGUGCAGUGGGCGUUUUCGUGACUCCUCUGUCCCUCUACAGAGACCCAUCUCGAUCCCUCUGGCCUAGUCCCAUGGCUUCUCUCCCUCUCUCGUCGUCCUGCCGGCUAAGCACAGGUACUUUCUCCGUCCACACAGAUGGUGGCCGAGGCUGAGCAUGGGGCCGAUGAGCGUGCUGGUCUUCCAUGGCCGAGGUGUGAGUGCGACUCCUGCUUGAUUUGAGUGAAGCUUAUUGUUGGGUACCGUAAAUCGGGAUACCCUAACCAAAAGGAAAAAAAAGCAACAAAAAGGAACUUAGGUCCACAGGGACAAGUCUCGAGCCGUAACACAAAUAACCGCCACGCCCGAGCCCUGGCCUGGAGCGCAAUCACCGCCUCGCCCGAGCCCUGGCCUCGAGCGCAAUCACCGCCUCGCCCCAGCCCCGGCCUCGAGCGCAAUCACUGCUUCGCCCGAGCCCUGGCCUCGAGCGCAAUCUCUACAUCGCCCGAGCCAUGGCCUCGAGCGCAAUCACUACCUCGCCGAGCCCUGGCCUCGAGCACAAUCACGGCUUCGCCCGAGCCCUGGCCUCGAGCGCAAUCUCCGCCACGCCCGAGAUGUAGCCCUCCUACACUCGGCUAAGUACCAGCAGGCUCUCCGACGCUACCACGCUCGACAAAUCCUAGGCCGAUCCUUCAAGGUCGGCGACUUGGUGCUGAGGCUUAGACAGAGCAACAAAGGCCGCCACAAGCUCACUCCUCCUUGGGAAGGACCCUUUGUCAUCAUCGAAGUACUUGUUGGGUACUUUGAAUGCAAAUAGAAAAAUCUGCAAGCGCACGGAUACCGAUGUAGCUUUCACCCGGGAGUAUUCCAGAGUAUCGAUUUUCCACACGAAAAGUGAGUGUACUAAUUAAGAUUCAAGAUCGCCCAAGGAUAACUAUAUAAUUAUUUUUUGGUGGGAAGAGAGGAAGUUUCCUGAAUCCACAAGCGCACGGAUAUCGAUGCAGCUUUUACCCGGGAGUAUUCCAAAGUAUCGAUUUUCCACAGGGAGCGUUAGUGUACUAAUUAAGAUUGAAGAUCGCAUAAGAAUAACUAUAUAAUUAUUUUUUGGUGGGAAGAGAGGUAGUUUCCUGAGAGUUCUCUAGUUGAUCUAAGAAUCAAGAAUUACUUCAAAGAUUAUUUAUUUCAGGACAUCAGAACACUAACCACAGAAAGAGAUGAGAAGGGGGCUAGGAAGCUCUGACUACGGUCCUACAAACACCGAUCUGAACGAGGUGGAAUACGUCGACCGUUAGGGCUGUCACUACCCUAGGUUACCACAACAAUCCGUAGGAUUGGGUGCAAUUCUAGGUAAUUGCAAGACUAAACACCACUUCUAAUCUAUUAAUUACUACUCUAGCGUUGCAAAGACUAGAGCACUUGAUGCAAGAGGGAAUCCAAUAAAUAACUUGAAUGUAAAUAAAAGUAAUUAAAGAACUCAGGAAUUAUGAAUUGAAGAACUUGGAGAACGAUGAAGAACGAACCAGUUGCUGCAAAAGUACAAUGUUGAGGAAGAUCCGACAGAUCCGGCACCUCCUCCGCUCCCCUCUUCUCUCUCCCUAUUUUCUAGAUUACAACUAGAACUAGCUAGAACUAGAACUAGAUGAACUAGAACUAGAACUAGAUGAACUAGAGGGAUCCUCUCUAUUUGGAUGAAUAAUUGAAACCCUAGCUUUGAUUCUGUAGAAGAGAUACCCUCCAGGGGUUGGUGGGAGCGCCUUAUAUAGCCUUGGAAGAGUAGCCCCCAAGAAAUCUAGGAAGAGUAGCCCCCAAGGAAUUUCCACGUCAUCGAUCCACGUCACGUUAUUCUCCACCAUCCGAUCAAACCAACCUUAAUCGCAUGAUUUUCCUCGAUCCUUAGAGUCGGUGGGGCAUAAUCCCCGAAGUGGACCCUGAUUGGGCACCACAGGAGGGCGAGCGCCCUGGUCCCUAGGGCGGGCGCCCUAGGCUAGGCCCUGUUCUGCCUCUGCUUCGAUCCAAUCGCUUCUUAGGUCAAUCUCAUUACGGAAAAUUGUAGAAGGCCUUAAUAUCUCUUUGUAAACGUGACGUGUGGGCCUUUCCUCCAUAUUUCCUGAUAACCCCCUAUAGAAAUAGACAAACACCAAAACUCGUGGAAUUCUGUCAGAUGAAACCCUAAUUUUGGACGUUGGUUGCAUAUAGAUCCUUUUGCAUGAUUAGUUGACGGUUAAAUGUGAGCAUUAAGGACCGUCAAAAGUACUCCGACCCGGCACUUACAAGCUCACCAACGAGGAGGGAGAGGUCUACAACAACGUGUGGAACAUAGAGCAGCUACGUUGCUUCUACCCUUAGCUAUGUAAAGAGAACUUUUAUACCCAUCUUGAUAAAGUGAUAGAGUUGUGAACCAUACAAUUUUUCCUUUUGCCUUAAGAGUGAGCCUCAGCUCAGCCUACGCAGGGCCUGAGCCUCCCUCGGGGGCUACAUGGGGGGAACCCCCCUACUGUUGCAAACUUUUUCUUUCCUUAAGUUAGAGUUUUUCCAACCCAAGCCAUCGUUCCCAUUCUUAAGAAACUGAAAACAACAAACCAUCCCCCUAGACUUAAAGUCAGACGAGCCUAAAACUGUCCAUGCCCACGGGUUAAGACCUUUUCUACUCACCCUUUAAGACCGAGAGAUAAGUUUGUUUGGAUUUUAGGAAUGUCCAAUGGAGGGUCUAAAACAUUAAGAAACAGGAAAGGGACUUGGGCUCGAAAUGCUCCAACUAAAAGAUCAGACCCUUAGUAAAUCAUCUCACCUCGCGUUGCCGAGGCAAGAAUGUUUCCAAAGAGAAACAAGCACAGGACUUAGGAAAAACAUUCAUAAAAAACUCACAUAAAGAUCAUGUUUACGAAACAAGGCCUCACUGGCCAUCAAUGUUUACAAUAUAAACUAAUCUAUUACAAGGGCUCUAUGGCCCCGCCUUUUCUGGCUCUGACACGUUAAGGGGGGAGUGCAACUUUGGCGUCAAAGAAGGUAGCCAAGGCAUCUCUAGGGCCCUCCGCGGCAUCGGCAAGCUUCUGGACCUCCUUUCGGUCCUCGUCCUCAUCGUCGUCGACGACGUAGCCUUCGCUCACUACCGGCAGAUCGAUGCCGAGGUAGUGAGAGCUCACCAUGGCUAGGGCCUUCUUUACCCCAGUGUGGAGGGCGUCUCUCAGCCUCUCGCCAACCCGGGAGUACAUGGCCUUGACGCGCUUGCGCAAGGAGGAACCUGGCGGACCCACCUCGACUCCGAGCCCCUCACAUGCCGAGGCCACGAUUGCUUGCAGAGCGAGUGGUCGGUGGCCUCGACAUCAAGGGCCUUUCGUACAGUGUCGGCCACAGAAGCCGCCUCGGCUACAUUUCCCUCUAGCUCUAUGAUAAAAGGCAAGUGUAAGCGACAAGGCCUGGAUUUAUGUACGAACAACAAAGGAAGAAUCACAACUAUUACCUUUUACUUCUUUUGCGCUCGCCGCCGCAUGACUCUGCCACUAGGAGACCUGACCCCGAGCCUCGGCUAGCUCAUCCCUAGCUUGGUUCAGGGCCAGGUCCCUCUAGGUUAGCAGAGUCUCAACCCAGAUCACUUCGCCCUAGUAUCUUUUGGCGACGGUGCUCCGCUCUUGAGUCUCUUGGACGAGGUCGCUAACCCUCUUCUCUAGAGGGGCGACCUUCGCUCGAGCAUCCUAAACCUUAGUCUCGAGCUCAGAGCACCUCCACCGGAGGUUGGUGGCCACCUCGCACUCCUUAGUGAGCUCCCCCUCAGCCACUUCCCGAGCAGCCUUUUCCUCUCGCAUGGCCGCCCACACGUCCCGCUCUCAGCGGAGAAACUUUGACUUCUCGUGGGACGUGGCCAUAAGCACCUGCGAGGUAACAUCGCACGGGAAAUUAACAAGAAAGGCCAAAAGAAAAGGCAAAAUAUCCCAAAGGGAUUAGGCGCCCAUAUCUGGGCAAAAUUAUGAAGAUCUCGGCCCACGAGCUCGGCCGCUCGGUUGAUGGCCUGCACACUGGCACGACCGGUUUCCUCCAGGCUCUUCCAGAAGUAUGCCUCGGUGGGGUCGUCGUGCACAAACCUGGCCCUCCCCUCUGGGUCUUCAGGGUUAGGCCAAACCACCGGGGCUUCUCCCCAGGAUCCGGUGGCCUUCCUCUCCGCCCCUUAGGCCUCACCACGACCAGGUCUGGCUUCUGCGUGCACCCGAGGUCUAUGUCCCCUGCCGGAUUAAUGGCCCCGAGGGCCAAGACCGUCCCCUUGGGUUCCUGGGUCCUCGGGACCUCGUCCCUCACAGCUUGGGGCUCCGGCGUCUCUUUUAGGGCCCCUUGACUCACCUCCUCCUGGGGGCAUCCCUCCUCCACAUGGACUAAGGGAGGCUGCGACUUGGGCCUCGCUGACCCAGGGGUUGACAGCGCCCCCCUCUUGAUGACCUUAAGGGUGCCAGCCUCGCUGUUGCCGCCUUUUGCUUCCAGCUAGCAAAGAGGCAACAAAGGAAAGGUAAAUAAGAAGAAAGAGAAAAACAAAAAAGGAAAAAGUCCCUAGAAAGGCACUUACCUAGCUCGGGGCAUGGCCCCCUUCUGAGAGCUUAGCGCCCCUGGGACCCGGGGCAGCCGGGCGCGAACCCACGGUCGCUGCUGGAGUCGCGGUAGUACGCACGGUCGUCCCGACCUUCGAACCUUCCGCCACGGGCACCGCCAUGGGUUUCACCUCUGCCCUAUCCUCAGAAUGAAGCUCGAUUCGGGCCUCGGCCCGUGCUCCGAUCCCCCAUGGGGGUUCGAGCCUUUGGGCCCUCAGGUGCCUCAUGCGCCUCCCUCGACGUUUUCUUUUCUUCUAGGAGAUGCAGGGCAACCGGGCCCCCCAUGGGGGUUUUUCCCUGCCUUCUUCAACAAUAAUGAAGGGGGCACUGCCUGCACCCUGUUGAUAUUUGGUAACGCAAUCAGGAAAUGAUCCGCAAGCGCACGGAUAUCGGUGAGCAUUUCACCCGGGAGGUUAUCUAGAGUUAUCGUAUUUAUAUUUUUACCACUGGGAGAAAGGGUGCAUCUGACUAACCAAAUCUAUUGCUACUAUCCCUUUAGGCACAAAGAAUGUCUCUCGAUGUGAGUGAUAAAUAGAGAAGACUGCAACCGUAGUCUCCUUCUAACCUUGGUAAGGAUGAUCUACUGUUCUAAUGGGGAGGCUAACGGAAUCUAGACACCACAAAGGAUGUUCAACCCGCACCUAUAAACCCUAUCCUUCCUGCUAACGAGAUGUGAUCUGCAAAGGUAACUCGGAAUUGUCACGUUCCUCACUACUACCACGGUCCAGCUAGUUAGGGAAUAUCUAUGAGUACCCCAGCCUAAACACCACGUUUACGCCAGCAAUGAUUACUCUAAACUCUACGCAAAGAGAUUAAAGUAAACUCAUAAACCAUAAGAACAAUAAAACAAGAACUUACUAGAAUUUAGAAGUCGAAAUAUUGAAGAAUCCUAGGAGCAAGCUUCGGGUUAGGAGAACUUGAUCCCGCAGGUACAAGCUUGGAGUAGACACCGACAGGCCGGGCUUCCUCCAAUCUACAACUCCACUCUAUCUCUCUCAAUCUAGUAGAAACUAGAAGAUCUAUUUCUACUUUACAUUGGUUGCUAAGCCUAAAAAGAAAUAUUAAUUAGAGAAGAGGUUUUCCUUCGAAAGCACCCCUUAAUCUCUAUGAUAAUUUCUUGUCCUCCUCCAGGGGCCAGGGGCCUUGCUUAUAUAGUCCUCCUCCACUGUGCGUUUUUGGUUCAGCAGGCGAUGUGGUACUAAACUUUCCACCAUAUCUCAUUAAAAUGCACAUAGGCCUUAAUGGACCAAAAUCUGAUUUGGGCCCAAUUAAUCCCGCAGCUCUUUUAUGUGGAGUCCUUCUUUUAUUAAUAUCUCUUGAUUCCGAACUCCAAAUAUAUCAAAUAAUAUAUGCAUUUCGAUCAGCUCGACGAGAUCUUUGCAAUGGUGUACUCCAUUCUGUGAUUGGUGGAAACACCUGGGCGGGCGCCCUGCCCCCAGGCCCGUUCGGCCUCCCGUUCGUUCCCGUGGCUUCUGGAGUCUUCUAGAUGAUAGAAAAUUGCGCGGUGCGUUGAUAUCUCUAUGUAAUCCUGAUAUGUGGGCCUUUCUUCCUUAUUUCCUUAUAACCCCCUGCAGAAAUAGACAAACACCAAAACUCGUGGAAUUCUGUCAGAUAAAACCCUAAGUCUAGAUGUUGAUUUCAUUUGGAUCCUUUUCUUUGUUUAUUUGAUAAUUAAAUUUGAUACUUAAGGACCGUCAACAAGCUCCCCCAAACUUACCUCUUGCUCGUCCCUGAGCAAGGAUAGACUCAGCAAUGGAUUAGAAGUUGUUGCAAUAUCUUUAAAAAUUGACGGUACACAUGCUUUUUAAAUAAGAUCUCAUCUCUGAGUUAGAGUAAACUGUCAAGAACUAAAACUUACUUACUUUACCUUCACCAUGGGACUUGUAACCGUCACUUCUGUCUUGAGAGGUUAAAAGAUAGAACAGUCUAGCCAAGUGCCAUGUCUCCUAUUCUUGAUCAGCUAUAGCUCUGGGGUUUUGCAGAUUUUCAAAUAAAACUCAGAGAUUCCUUGUAUGCCUCUCUAAAUCUCUGUUUUGUGGUAUUUCUGGAUCCUUACCAAGGCAUUGAUGGUAUAUGCCUUCUCUCAAGAAAGGUGGUAUUUGUGGCAUAAGGCAUAGUGACAUUGCCUUCUCUCUCACCCUACUCUAAUAAGGCUUUAAUAUCUGGAGCUCAUAGGUGGGAGAUAAAGUAUACAUACUUACAAGACAUUUAUUGUAUAGUCAAACCAUGGAUCCAGAGAAGCAAAUCAAUAAGCCAAAUCAAGAUGUGCAUGUGUGGCGAAUGAAUGGUAUAUGGUGAUGAUGGUAAUAACAAUGGUGAAAGUCUAAUUCUACUUUUGCUCUUUUGAGGGGAUACAUACCUUCCUUGCUUUUUGAAACUUUAUGAGGAGAAUGAGAUGCUCUUCUUUUUCUUUCCUCUCAGGUGGGUAUCUUGUACCCCUAAUUCUACUGUCGAACACUUGUCCAUUUUUACCUCUCGUCUCACUUUUUCUUUCUUUCGAGGUUCCGGGCACUUGCCCCUUUUUAUUUCCUCGUUUACAUAUAUAUAUAUAUAUUUUUUCUUCUCUUUUCUUUUUUUUCAGAGCACUCAUCUCUUGAGAUAAUAUAGCAAGUGGUAGCAACCAAAAUAUUUGGAGCAUUUAUUUCACAGGGAAUAACAGGGAUAGGAAAAUGUUUUUGACUAUUCUCUCCCGGAUUAGGAGUAGAAUAUUUUUGGGUGAUUCUGGAGAUGGAAAUGGAUAGAUAUAUGUGGAUGGUACUUCCGGAGUAGAAGUAGCAUAUAUGAGUGAACGUGCAAGUGAAUCUUGAUUUAACCACAUGACAAGCUCCUAAGGGUCUACACAGCUUGACCACACUCAACGCUCACAAGCAGUAAAUAGUAAAUGUGUGGCUCAAAGUCUAGCAAGCAUGUAUAUAUGGCUGUGGUAGGAAUUUAAACUCUCAUCAUACAGGAACUCAUCAUGCAAUAUUUUAAAGUUUUUUUAAAGAUAAAAUUCUCCAGAAUUCUAGCAUCUCUAGGAACAGAUAAACAGCAGCUCAACCUUCCCAUAUCAUAUCCGUUAACAACUUAGAUUUCAGAUCAAGUUUUCAUCCCACAAGUUUAGAUCUAGAGCAAGCUUUAAAUUAUAACAGUUAUGUCUAAACAUGAGAGAGAACUUCAAAAUUGCAAAUUAGGCAGAGCAACUAUUCAUCAUAUCCAUGCUAGAGUUUUAUUAUUAAGAUUCAGAUUAGCGUAGCCACUUUAUUUAUUUAUUAAACAUACUAAGCAAAAGAUAUAGAUAAGCACAAAAUCUUAAUUUGGUUUUUCAUAGUUUAUGUGUUUUAAUAUUCUAACAUAAUAUAAGUAUAAAGAUAGGUAGAAAUACUUAGCGAGAUAAAUGGGGGUGCUCUCCCCCAAGCUGAAUUUUGACGUAAUUUCUCUUGAUGUAGCUAGCAGGUGGCAGAGGUGUAUUUGAAAGUCAGCAGUAUUCUGACAGCGAUUAGAAUGUCCUCCGUCUGCUAGUCUUCUUGAUUCUUAAAUUCCGUGGAGCUCAAAUAGACAACAAAGCUUGUGGAACUAAUUAAGUGUUAGCAUAAAUAUCUAGCCUUCAUCAUGUUGAGCUUCCUUAAUAAAUGUUAUUUAUUUAGCAGGAUCAUAUACUUAUUAUAUUUUUUUUAUAUUUUUAUUGUAAGAUGAAAAACUUAUUUAUUUUAUUUUUAUGCCACCACAGUGAAUGUACUUAUGGGUUUUAUGUCAUGAGCAUACUCACAUGGGGCUUACUAUUUUUUAACAUUUUUAUUUUCUUUUCAAGAUAGCAUGAACCUGAUUAACUAAGUAAAUUAUAAUUGAAUAAUUGAAAGGGAAGGGUAACUACCAAGUUUACCUCUUGGCAAGGCGUUCGGUAUUUUUAAGUCCUCCGAAUGGGACUCUCUGUUUUCUCAGUCGUCCUGGGAUUCGCUAGGUGGCGUAGUCGGUGAUUCCGGCGGCGCCUAUCUUCGUGUAUAACUAUCUUCUCCCUCCACACCUGACUCGGUGCUAUGGUCUCCUCAGGACAGUUCUGUUCAAGCUGUAUGUCUUCAGUCCUUAUCACUUCUCCUUCGUAGUCUACCCAUCCGUUCUUGUUGAUUUGCCUCCUCUGGUUGCGGUUGUGUCGUCUUCUUGUCUUGAGCUGCUUAGAGUCUUCAACUAUAUAGUUAUGGUCAGUAAAAUAGUUGCGUACCUUCUCAGAGGGUAAGUACAUGUGGACUUCUCCGGUUCCAAUGUAGAUGAUUGCUUUGAUAGUGUUGAGGAACGGUCUUUCAAGGAUGGUGGGUGGAUCAUAUUCGUCUUCUCCCAUGUCAAUGACCUGAAAAUCAUCUGGAGCUGAAUAUAUUGGUUGUAGGGGCAUGGUUCCAUGUAGGAGCUGAUAAGUGACUACAGCCAUUAUGUUGUCAUCAGAUCUGGUGUCGUAGAGUGUCUUCUAAAAAGAGUAUCCAUUGAUUGCGCACUCGAUGCUUGGAACACCAGGGUCGUCCUUCUUGAUCAAGAAAGGUGACUUGAGUCGACGAUGUUGACCUCUUCCGACAAGGAUCCAAUGUUUUAAGUCUUCUGGACAAGACUUCUCACUGUCUUCAUCCUUUAGGUGCAUCAUUUGAUUAGGUAUAGACCUUGACGUCUGCACCUCUUGGUAUGGUGUCACCCAUGUUCUUCUUUGCCCAGCAGUUCGAAGUAUGGUGUUGGCAAUAUCCUGCUCAGUGUGUUUGUGCUCAUAGAUCCAGGUCCUUCACUUGGUGGAGUCUGGGAGUUGUAAAACUCCUUCACGUUUUGCUUGAAGUGUACCUGUUCAUAGAGACAAGGCAGAGAUCAAGUGCUUGGGCCCUGUUGGUGGAAAACACCAACAGAACCAAAAGUGUAUUUGUUCUUCUCUAACCUUAAGCAUAGUGAGCAAGACAAAGUUGAUGGAUCAUGAGUGUAGCAUUUAAAACAUUUGUAGAUCAGAUGGCUCAACCUAAUGGAAAGAUAAUCUAUCUAUAUUUAUGUUUUGUUUAUAUCUUCCGAAGAUGGAAUGUGCAACAUUUUAGCUUAUAUGAUUAGGAGUGUGGGAUUACGAAGGUAGUACUAAGAACAGAGAUUAAAGGACUAAACAUGUUAAAUUAAUUAAGUUGGUUAAUUUGGAGUUACAGAUCAUACAUGUUUGUCUCUUUAUUUUAUGUGAACGCCAGAACCAAGGAGAAGCUUAUAAAAGUGACAGUCAAGUACCUUAAGAUGUUACCUUAAUUGAAGAGUGAUGGUAUAGUAUCACCUUGUGGAAGCUUUCCUUUCUUAGCGGUUG
RNAcentral lists this long non-coding RNA (69704 nucleotides) under Sorghum bicolor (sorghum). Its description in RNAcentral is "long non-coding RNA (SBIC_LNC012026)". The stretch from base 4078 to 4184 matches the Rfam family "Plant small nucleolar RNA R71". The record is from RNAcentral. Lineage: Eukaryota; Viridiplantae; Streptophyta; Magnoliopsida; Poales; Poaceae.